This 50191-nucleotide long non-coding RNA is filed under the name Theobroma cacao (cacao). Its description in RNAcentral is "long non-coding RNA (TCAC_LNC002143)". The record is from RNAcentral. Lineage: Eukaryota; Viridiplantae; Streptophyta; Magnoliopsida; Malvales; Malvaceae.
AAAACAAAACUACCAAAUUGCGAGCUUUUCUUCUCUCAUUUCAACUCUCUUCCCACUCUCAUGGCAGCUUCUAUCCUUAUCCCCUCUCCCUCUUUCAACACUUACAGGUACCCUCUCUGUUUGCUUGUCUUUGUACUCUGCACAUAUAUGUACGUAUGUAUCUGCAAAAAGUUUUCGAAUUCACUUUUGGGUGUUUUUAUCUGGGUUUUGUAAUGUCACGAACUGUCUCGUGGGUCCUCUUUAUUCAAUCUUUGCAUAGUCGGGGGGGGGGGGGGGAAGUGAGUUACUUUUUAUCCUUCUUAAUAUUCUCACCUUUCAAACUAUUUCAGGACAAGUCAAGUGUCUCUGAACUUGCAUUCACAACACUGGCAUCAAAGCAUCAGCCGCUUCUCAGUAUCUCUUAAAACCCACAAAUCAAGUCUCAAGCUUUACAUGAUACCUGCUAUUCCGAUUGUCGCCCGCCAGUUUCUGUUGAAACCUUUUGCUGCAGUUGACUCAUUAGAAGCACAUGUCUCACCGGACCAAAAUUGUGCUGCUUCGGGUGUUUCAUCUCAAAAUGGUUUCGACAGGUGGGAACUUAUCUUGCUUACCCAUAAUUUUGCCCUUAUUUUGAUGUUACUGUUUCUUAAUUUACCUUUCCUGGACACCGGAAUUCUUUUGCUUCUGACUCGUGGGCUUUGCCUGAAGUGAUGUAACGUCGGAUGACACCUUUGGUUUCAAAUCUGACCAUGAAAUGAUCUUGACAUUGUUCUGAGUUCAUCAUUAGCAAUUCAUUAUAUCCUUCUCUAGCAAAGCUGAGUCUACAAAAAUUAAGUAGCUGAAAAACAUUUGUCUGUUAUUAGCAGGUCUAAAACAUUGCUCGACAAAGCAAGUAACUCCUUGGAUGGCAUGAGUGACUUUGAGAGACAGCUGCAAGAGCUAUUUAAUGAGGUCAAAACAUUAAUUAUGACUGGGAACAGGAGUGAUGCUCUAGACCUACUUCAAGCAAAUUAUGAAGCUGUAAAAGAACAGAUAAAUGCAGGUGCUAAAGGCAUAGAAGAAGCUGCUAUUCUUGAUGUUAUAGCCUUGGGUUACAUGGCUGUUGGAGAAUUGAAGUUUGUUCACCCUCUGCUCAAUUUGGUAACUUCCUUUUUCUUUGGAAACUAAAUUUUCAUGUGCGUGAGGCCUCUGUUUGACAUGAUAAUGUACGUGGGUACUAAUAACUUAUUGAUGUGGUCGUAGAUUGCUAAAUCGAACUUUAUGCAAAUGCUUAUAAGUUUCAUGUAAGGGUUGGAAGGGAAUGGAAAGUUAUUUGUUAUUGCUUUUUCUAUUUUAUCUGGGUUAAUCUGGUUGUAUAGUUGUUAGACGUAAGUGGAUUAGAUGGCGCUAAUGACCAAUAUUCACAAAAGGUAUGUGCAAAAUUAUAUUCAGAUAUUUUGAAAGCCAUCCUAGAUAUUCUUUCUGUUUCAAGAGUGAUAUUCAUGAUAAUGGGAAAAAAGUCAUUGAAAGUUUAGUCUUAAAGUCAGGGGAGCUUCAUUUCUUUUUCCUCAUUUAAACUUUGUGAAGUACAAUUUAUAUUUCCUUUUUACCUUUUUUUGGGUCCUUUCUCGUCUUAUAUUUAUAAAUUCAUAUGUUGGUUUUCUGUGUGGCAAAUAGGUUAUAAAGAUUAAGUACCACUAUCUGCUAUGUCCAAGGCAAAAGUGAUAGAUAAAUGGCUAAAAAGUUCUGACUGCAAUAAAAACUGCUCAUUGAUGUAACAGUCACUCAUCAAGAGAGAAUUAAAACUUUUUCUUCUCUGCUUCACUUUUCUUGAUGCAAUUAUUUUCAUGAUGGCAGAUUAAUGAGGUUAUCGAGGAUCAAAAGGAUGAUGAACCUCUUCUGGACUCGGUACUUUUGCAUAUGGGAAGUAUGUAUUCAACUUUGGGGGAGUUUGAGAAAUCCAUGCUUGUCAAUCAAAGAGUUACUGAUAUUCUAGAGAACAGACAUGGUAAUUGCCUCCUUUUUUGUGCCUUUAUUUUUUAAAAAUUUUUUUGGUGUUGCUUAUGAGCUUCACUCAUUCCUUUUCGCAGUUGGCUUCUCUCAAUGAUUAUCUAAAAUUCAUGUCUUCUCCUAGGGAAAAAUAGUAUUUUUCUUGUCACACCACUGUUGGGGAUGACAAAAGUUCUUAGUUCUACUGGAAGAACUACAAAAGCAGUUGAUAUCUAUCAUCGUGUGAUAAAAAUCUUGGAAUUAAGUAGAGGCACUGAAAGUGAGGAUUUUGUGGUACCUUUGGUUGGACUUGGAAAUCUUUUAAUAAAGGAGGGCAGAGCUACAGAUGCAGAAAAUGCUUUUGUAAGGUAAGUGAGCAUAUUCUUUCAUAUUGAUUUGGUUGUAGUUUUGAGUUCAUUGUUCACUUGUUAUGUGCUUUUUUUCCUUUUUCAGAAUUCUAAAUAUAUAUACCAAGUUAUAUGGGGAGAAUGAUGGAAGAGUUGCACUUGCUAUGUGUUCUCUAGCCCAUGCAAAGUGUGCAAAAGGUAGCUUCUGUAAUUUCUCUGUCCCCCAUCCUCACCCCCAAGCCCGAAAUAAAUAAAUAAAGGAUUUAAAGCAUUUUUGGGGCCCUUGCAUUGUUUUUCAAUCAUAAAACAUUCUUCAGCACUUCAAAAACCUUUAAAUUGCAAUUAUAGUUUAUCAUGCCAGUUUUCUUACAGGGAAUGCAAAUGAAGCCAUUGAUUUAUACAAAAAGGCUCUCCAGAUGAUAAAGGAUUCAAGUUAUAUGCCUUCAGAUGAUAGCCUGAUGGAGAAUAUGAGAAUAGAUUUGGCAGAACUACUUCAUGCCGUGGGAAGGUAAGUUGGAUACAAAGUUGCAACUAAAAAUCUGCAUGCAUUCAGUAGAUUUAUAUGCAUGGUUUUCUCAGCCUUUGUGAUAAUUCCAUCUGUGGAUGUCCCUGAAUGUGCUUGGAUGGGGAGCAUUGUUCACAUGGGAUAGCAUCUAUAAUGAGGCUGAAAAAAAUCAAGUGGCUGCUGUAUGCCAUUAGGCCUGCAAAAUUUAGAAGUGUCUUUCCUUGAAGAAAAUCUCAUUCAGAAGCAAAAGGAAUUAUAAUGCAUUACUUUUUGAUUAUCUGAUUAUGCAGGGCAAAGUUUUAGCAUGUCAUAGUAGUAGUCUUGUGCUUGCAUUUCCUAUUAUACAGUUUUGGUAAAAGCAUAGUCUUACUUUCUGUUGCAAUUUGUAUGCUGGUAGGGGAAGAGAAGGUCGGGAGCUGCUGGAGGAAUGUUUAUUGAUCACUGAGAAGCUUAAAGGAAAAGACCAUCCCAGCUUAGUUGCACACUACCUAAAUCUUGCAACAUCAUAUUCACAGUCUAAAGAUUUUGUUAUGGCUGAACGCUUGUUGAGGACAAGUUUGGAAAUCACAAAAAAGGCUGAGCGGCCUGACAAUCCAUCCAUCACUUUUCCAAUGUUGCAUCUUGCUGUCACUCUUUACCAUUUAGAGCGGGAUGAAGAAGCUGAGCAAGUAGCGCUUGAGGCUUUACAUAUCCGUGAGAAGGCAUUUGGAAAAGAUUCACUGCCUGUUGGUAAAUGUUACUAUCUCAUUUACUUGUGCUGAGUUUGAUUAGGCUAAAUAUCAUAUCAUCUUGAUGAUUUUAAAGAAUUAGUACAUCAUUAGAAGAAAAUAAUUGAAGUUGUUGCCCUGAUUGCAUCCUGAUUCUACUACUAUACAUUUUGUAAUGUUCUUUGUUUUUAUGGCAGGGGAGGCUUUGGACUGUUUGGUGUCAAUUCAGACCAGACUUGGGAAGGGUGAGGUUGAGUUACUGGAGCAGCUGAAGAGAAUUCUGAGGAUUCAAGAGAAAGAGUUGGGCUACGAGAAUGAGGAGGUUAUGAUAACACUAAAAAAGGUUGUAUUUUACUUAGAUAAAUUAGGGAAAAAGGAUGAGAAAUUUCCCCUACAAAAAAGAUUGUCCAGGCUUUGGAUGAAAUACAAACAGGUUGUUCGAUAUUAAUAUGGCAUUUUCUCAUUUUCCAAAAAACAAAAAGUCAUAUAGUUUGCAAGUUAGACCAAAAUUCUUAAUUGAUAUCAAACCACAAUACAAGCGUUCAAGUUUACACUUUUGACAAAUUUCCUUGGCAAAACCCAAAGUCAAUAUCAUCGGUACAAUAAACCUCACAAUCCCUAUAGAAUUGAAAGCUUCUUCUUGCAUAGACACACUGGUACAUGGCUGAGCGAUUGGCAGAAGCAUGAAAUGUUACUUGGCCACAAAUCCAUCUCCCUUGACAGCUAAUGGGUGGAAACAAACCCAUAUCAAGGUCAUUUCUUCUUGAUCAAGACUAUGGAAGAGAAGCUAGCAUUAAAGUGCCAAUUACUCCUUAUGAGGCUAACUGCUAGCCUAUCUAUGUAAUUCCAAAACAAGCUCUCAUUCUCGAGUUUGGUUGCAUCAAGAUACGAGGCCAAACUACAAAAUUGAUUUGGGUCAGUUUCUUAUGGAAGUUAAAAACGUUUAUGAAUGCUUUGAAAGCAGACAUAAACAGAAACAUACCAAUGGUAGCAGUAUCAUACGUCUUGAAGCCACCUGCAUGGCUUCUUUUCCCUGUGACUUGGAUUUAAACAAUUUGGUAUAUGUUCCUUCCUUUCUGAAUUUUGUAAGGGAAGUUGCUGCCACGUCGACAUGUUGACCAAAAGUCAGGAUAUGGUCAUUUUGUAAUUUUUGGACGUAAUUGGUGGCAUUUACAAAUGGAAGGGAUAUACCAUCUGUCUCUGGGAGCGUUCAAGAGUUAGUACGGGGCAGGGGCAGGGCAAUGGCGUUUGCUAUCUCCAACCCAACCUGCAUUUCUUCUUCCAUUUCACCUCUACUUAAAACGGUAAAAGAUUCAAACCCUUUUUAACUUUCCAAUUUUGGCCUCACCAUUUACUUUGUUAGUCAAUAUUGAUUGGAUUCCUUCGUUGGUCUGACGCAGGCGAGAGCAGGGACAAAUUCAUGGCGUCUCAACCCCAAUUUAAAGUGUCAGGUUUAUCUUUGGAAAUUCAUUUUGUUUUCAGAAUUAAUUUCACGUAAUUAUUUUUAAUUUUUGUAAUAAAUAAGUUUUUUUAUUUUAAAGUGUCAAGUUGUUUCCCGGUUCGAAAGCGAGGGUGGUGGUCGCCGUGUUUGGCGCCGGAGAAAAUUGGUACAUGGUCAAACUUGCUUUUUAUUUCUUUCUUGGAUAUAAGAUAGUUAUUAGUAUCAAUAUACCAGUAAAUUGAAAUUAAUAAAAAAUGGAUAAGAAAAAAUGGAAUGAAUUUUUGUACUUUCUGAUGGAUAUGUUUAGUUAGAUUCAUGGUGAAGUAAUGUUUAAUUGCUUUGAAACUCAGAUGUCUUUAUUCAUAUCUAACUAAGAAUUUGGAUUAGAUGAAGGUGCUGUUUACUGUUAUGAUAAUUUAUGGGAUAGAGUUUGUGAAGAAAAGUUUGAUGUUUCUGUUGAAACAUUCACCAACAGAGUUCAAUAUAAAUCAAAUAGGUGUGGGAGACUGAUAGUUUUUGAGCAUUCACCCUUUUUCUCAUUCCCAAAAAUGUAAUUUCAUGCUAGAAAUACAGUUUAGAGACUGAGUGAGUAGCUUGUGGUGGGCUACACCUAUACUCAAGCUUAGAAUAGUUAUUCUAUUCACAAGGUUUUCUUCUCAUUCAUCUUCUGUUUCUUUCUGAUUCAAAAUUUUCCGGAAAUUUCAAUUCGGUGUUGGUCGGAUGGAGGGUAAUUGUGCUCCCUAUUCUUCUAUUAAAUUCAUAAUGUCUGAAAUUCUGUUGUUGCAGCUAUUUUUGUAUCUUAAGAAUGAAACUUAUACCAACAUAAGUUGCUUCGUAUUUCUGAAUCUUGCUCAUUGUUGCUUGCGUUUCACUAAAAUUGGAACAAAUUAGGAGUUGAGUUACAAAUGCUGGUAUAAGUUUUACAUUCUUAUAUAUGAUGGAAAUCUUCCAGUAUUUAGGAUUGAGUCAAGGUUCUCUACAGUUCUGAGUUCCCCAAAUAAUUUUGUGACAUGUCUAUCCUUGGUCCAUUGUUUUUUGAAAGUGAGUAAUUCAUUUCAUCAAUGAACUUUACAUACUAUCCAAAGUGGUAGCAGAGUGACAUCACGGAGCUGGCAGACAAGACCCUGCCCACUCCAAGUGAGUCCUGAAAUCAAAAAGUAUGUGAUCCCAUCAGGUUGUAUAUGGGAUCAAACACCGAAAACAAGACCACGUGAAUCAAAAUCCAGUCAGCCCUCCAGUUACCCAAAGACAGAACCGUUCCCAUCUAUCCUUGGUCCCUGCUUCAGUAGAAAUAUGUUGUUGUUAUGCAAGUGACAUGCUCAAAGGCAUUUGGUUGCAAUGUUGAUGUGGAAAUUUCCUCUUCAUUCAGACAAAGAAGGAUGAGAUGUUGCAGUACAAGUUGGAGCGAAUCCCUUUCCUGGAGGAGCAGGUUAGGAAGAUAAGGGAAGGAGGAAAGCUCUUGACAAUGGACAUCGAGCGACUGUUGCUAUCGGAGGACAACAGGUUUGAUUUUGUGAAUGAUGUAGCAGCUGAGGCCAAAGAUUAUAUUGAGAGUAAUCGGGAUGAAUAUGGAGGUACUAAAAAAGCUAUACUUCAUGUGCUCAGUAACCGUGUCAAUGAUUCUGGCUUCUAUCGUCCAGAUGCAUAUGCUGAAUCUGACCCUUUCAAGCCUGGACCUACUUAUUUGAAGGAAGAAUUUACGUAAGUUUUGUAUGUUAGUGUCCAUUGUAUUCAAGAUUUUCUUCCUUGUAAUUUCAUUCCCUCGGAUUUAAUGCAGUGGUAGUUCUUUGGAAAGAAUUAGUGGUUGAUUGAAUAAAUAUAAUGUAAUCUUUUGUAGUAAUUCCUAAUUCUUUUUGUAAUUUAAAAAUAAUUGGAGAGGGUCAAUGUUAAAUCUGGUUAUAGUAUUUCACUACUUAGUAUUUUCGUGGAAAUGUAGUACUAGAAUUUUUGGAAGAUGACUCCAUCAACAGAUCUGAGUCAAGUGGGAAUGAACAGAGUAAAUGAUGUGUACUCAGACCCUAAGCCCAAUAUUAACUUGGGCUUGGUGCAAGCCCAGAUAAUAUGACAAUAUUGACCCAAGUCUUACUUGACACGUGUAAUUGAUGAUUCAGACCUUUUAUCUGUCCUUUUUUGCCCUUUUUUAUAGACCUUUAAUGAAGUCGUCUCUGUCUAGCCAAAGAAAAGGGCAAAUAAGGAUAAAAAAACUUCUGCUGUAUGCAAGUCUCUUAAGCAUCUUCUUAGAUAUUCGCCAAUUGAAGCUGUCACUUAAGCUGACGUGGCUUUAUAUGAACCGCAGAAUAUUCACUUACACUGUGGUGGAAAAGUCCGUAGGAGAUCCUAGCUCACUUGGAAUAUAAUCCGUUAAAUCAGUUAGAGGCCUAACUUCACUCUCUUAUCUCCGACACCGCCACAAUCACAGAGAAGAUUCUCAUCCUUGCAAGCCGAAACUCGAAACUCCAACUCAUCCGUUGGACUCAGAGAUUCAACUCACUGAGUCAACCAGAAGCUAUGGCGUUAUCGAGUCCACAGUUACAGAGAUUCCUCUCAACCGACUUCAAUUUCACCUCCAACACCAAAUCAGCCAACAAGAACCACCUAACGACCACAACUAACAUCAGAGCCAGAAGCCCCUGCCGUUGCUCUGCGAUUGCAAUUGACGCUCCUUCUUCGCUAACGGACGUCGCGGGGAUCCGAUGGGGAUCCGCGAGCGUUCAGGGCAGACGCGAAGAGAUGGAGGACAAUUUAGUCAUACGAUCGGACGGCCUUGACGGAUUCUCAUUCGCUGCUGUCUUUGAUGGCCACGGUGGCGUAUCUUCCGUCGAGUUCCUCAGGUACGAUAAAUAUUACAUGCAAAUGACUAGCAAUAUUUACUUCAUUCCAUGAACUUUUUGCAUAGUUUAUUGCGAUUUAAUUUUAUAGCAAGAGAUGGUUCUGAUGAAAGCAGGGAUGAGCUGUAUAAAGAGUGUGUUACCGCUUUACAAGGCGGAUUUCUGUUGAAUGGAGGAGAUUUUAAUGCUAUUAGGAAGGCGCUAACGAAGGCUUUUGAAAAUGCUGAUAAGAAAUUGCUAAAUUGGUGAGCCAAAAAUCGAUGCUUUGAACCCACAAAUAUUGAUAAGUCUUUUAAUCUGAUUUUGUAGUCUUAAUAUGAUUGUAGAUUUUUGUAUAUUACUGGUUGAAGGUUUAGCUGGUGUUUCAUUUUGUAAAGGCUUGAAACGAUUGGAGAAGGUGAUGAUGAAUCUGGUUCAACGGCCACUGUUAUGUUAAUAGGAAAUGAAGUCCUCUUCAUUUCUCAUGUUGGUGAUUCGUGUGUGGUAUGGAUACCUAUUCCUAGUUCCUUUUAUAUAUAUUAGAAUCCUUAAUUUACAUAUAAAAAGACUAAAAUUUUUGAGUUUCUUGUAUAAUAGUAGCAUUUUUGGGAACUAGACAGAACACCACCUUUAUUCUUUAAAAGGGUUAUAUCACUUUUCAUUCUUUUUCUCGGUUGAUACACUGAUGCAGGUUCUAUCUCGUGCUGGAAAAGUGGAAGUGUUGACUGAUUCUCAUCGACCCUAUGGAAGCAAUGAGACCUCUUUGCAAGAAAUCAGGAGAAUCAGAGAAGCAGGUGGAUGGGUGUGUUUUUUCUGUUCUUGAUUUUCUUUUCGGCACUUGCUAUCUGAUCUUUAAUCCUUGCUGGUACCUGAGAGUUCUCACAUCUUAAAAUGUAUAAAGACUUAAAUCAAAAACUCCGGAGCCUCAGUGACGUUUGGUCUUACUCACAUCACACGGCUGAUUAUAAGUUUUUCCAUGCAAUGUCCAUAGAUUGUCAACGGAAGGAUUUGUGGUGACAUAGCUGUAUCUCGUGCUUUUGGUGACACUCGAUUCAAGACAAAGAAGAAUGAGUUGUGUUCUUCUCCUGUCCUCAUUUUAAAGAAUUUUUCGUGAUGAUUUGUACAUGUUCUGUACAUUACACUGUGUGACUCCAUCAUAAUGUUAAUGGCUUGGAAUUUUGCUCAGAAUGCUGAAGAAGGGAGUUGAGGAAAGGAGAUGGUCUGAAAAAUUUAUUUCUCGGUAUAUCUUCUGUGGAUAUCCUUUCUUAGUUUCAUUUUCCCCCUUUUGUUGUGGGUUCUUGCUUUACAAGUUAGUUUAAUUAGAGUCACACCUAGCUCAAGUGGUUUUCUAUAAUUAGGAUAAGUCAGAUAGCUGUUUGGUUUAUUUCAAACAUGUUUCAAGCUUACAAGAUUGUUUGGCCUUCAAUGUUUGUGCUCUUUCAGAAUAGUGUUCAAUGGAGACUUGGUCAUUGCAUCUCCAGACACUUUUAAAGUAGCUCUCGGGUCAGAUGCAGAGUUUAUCCUGUUGGCAUCUGAUGGGUUAUGGGACUACAUAAACAGGUAUUUCAAGCUAUGCUUUUAACUCUUGCUGCUGUACAGGCAGUUUCUUUUACAUGGGUUUGCUGUAUGUUCAAUUGAGAGAAUAAUGUUACUCUUACAUACCUACUAUUUUCUUCUUUCAGCUCAGAUGCAGUUGCUUUUGUUAGAAAUCAACUACGAGAACAUGGAAAUGUUCAGGUACAUUUUACACUGUACCAUAUAUGACCAUGUCAUAUCUGUCCAGUUCUUAUCAGAUCCAUUAGCUUUCCGAUGAUAUUCUUUCAUUGGUUUAGUCAUAACUUUCCCCUUAUUCCUGAUUCAGGUAGCAUGCGAUGCACUUGCACAAGCCGCUUUGGUAAUUAAUAGUAAUUUGUUUCUUUUGAUUCAUAUUACUUAUAUAUGUUUGUACGCAAGUUCCAGUAACGUUAGAAUCUUAUCAUAACAUGCAGGAUCAAGGCUCUGAAGACAACAUCAGCAUUAUCAUUGCUGAUUUAGGGUAUGUAGUUGUUUUCACUAGUAUGAUUGCUGUUAUGCUGUGCAGUUUAAGUUGAGCUAACAGAUUAUUUGAAUCAACCUCUACUGGAAAACUAAUCGUAGCUUUUUUUUCUCAUAUAUUUUUUUUAUAGAACUAAUUAAUGGUUAGCAAUACAGUAUAUAGUCUUAAAUUAACCAUUGCCAAUACUUUCCCACUUUGAAGGCUUCUUGCGCAGCCACUGGCUGAAUGAUAUGAGCAGUAUAUGAUCUUCAAACCCAGAAUGAACAGUCUAUUGUCCUUGGGCUUAGUCUGUUAUUGGAACUUUUAUUUUCUUUUCUAUUUUUGUCCUCGUAGUCUAAAUAUGUUUCUUUAUAAUGAAAGCAUUGCAUGUGUUCAAUGACUUGAGUAUUGCUUUUUCUGCAUUCCAAGAUUUCACUGGGGAAAGAAAAUAGGAAACGCAAAGAAAUGACUAAUAAGUCAAAAACUCUACGGGUCGUGCUUGUCUCUUUCAAUUAAGUGCAUCUGAGUUUUCUGUUUAUGGCUUUUCAUAAUUCCUAUUAAAGGAUCACCCACUCCCUCUCUUUAACUUUGGUUUCGCUUGCUUUGACCUUUGCACAGGCAGACCGACUGGCAGAGCUUGCCACUUGAGCAACAAAAUUUUCUAUAUGAGUUAGGCCAAGCUUUAGUUACAGUUGGGAUUGUAUCACUUGGAAUAUGGUUGUCAUCUCAGGCUUCUUUUUGAUAUUGGGUGACCUGUUGUAUAUAGAUCAACAUAGAUUUCACACUGUCUGUAUAAUGAAAUUGUAUAUGAUGCUAGCACUUUUUGGUAAACUUGACCUAGGCAAAUUUAAUACUUCUCAAAGAAUACUAUUCCGUUACUUGUCUUUCUCUGUAUCGGUUUUGGAAAUUCAGUAGUACUGACUGUUAUUGCCGUGGAAACUUCAUUCCAGUUUAUGUGUAAGCCGUUCUUACCCCGUUCAGGUACAAGAUGUACCUUAAGGCUUAAGCUAUAGAUGAAUUAAAGAGAAAAAGAAAAAGAAGAAUAAAAAAUAAAACUUCUGCUGUUGAAAAUGAGGAUAGAAAAAUCAAAGGUCACUCUGCCUUGCAAUAUUCAUAUAAACAACGAAAAUCAUUAGUCAAAUGGGUUCUGAUUGGUGCCCCCCGAAGCACUACAUAUCAGCCUAAACAAUGGUUUUUGAGGUGCAUAAUGAAUUCUAAAAGGUCCAGGAAAAUACGUAUUGUUGACUUGAAUUUCUGAAAUUGAAGCUAGGCAGUCAAACAUGCCAUCAUUAAUAGGGAGAAACUUCGUAAGGUGGAACAAAUUGGGAUCUAAUUUUAUAAGUACAAGUGAUAACGUUGAGUUUGAUAUCAACACUACUGUCCUUAAUUUCUUUGUUUUCUUUUUGCUUUCAAUGCAUAGGAGAAUUAUUAUAUAGAAAAUUCAAAUUCAUUUUUUUUUAAAAAAAAAUUGUAAUAAAUAAAUAAAAUAAGAUUAGAUAUUGGGAUGUUGUUGCAAUGAUCCUUUGAUUUAGCAUAUAAUUUCAUGACUUCAUCAAUAAUAUAAUUCCAUCUUCAGAACAAUAUUCCUCGUAUCUCAUCUAAAGACUAUACAUAACCAAUUAUGUUCAUUCUGCCUUAUUCCUUAAUAUUUCUUUUUUUGGUUUUAGAGAAAUAAGAUGUAUGAACUAUUACAUACAUAGUUCUAAAUUACUUCUCUGCAUGGUGUUUUUUUUUUUUCAGAAAAAUUUAUUGAUUAAAUUAUCUAAUGAGAGACAACUCUUUCUCAUUUACUUCAUCAAUCAUUCACACAUCAAAACUCAAAUUUGUAAGAUCUCGAAUUUCCAAUCCAAAAAAAAUAAAAGAAAAAACCGUAAACUACAAUUAAUCACUACCAUUAUAGACGUAUACUUUCAAUGUUGGGCUUUAUUAAUUGCUAUUUGGGGUAGCCAAUAAGCACUGCUAAUGGUGAAAUUUGAAAUCAACACAUACGCUUUGAUUUGUUUUCUAGUCUUGGGUUUAUGUGUAUAUCUCAUAAACAACUGAUGAGGAACAAAAUAGGAAAGCUUCAUUAUUUAUUCUUAAUAUAUGGUUAUGGCAGGCAAUAGCCUGGGAAGUACAAACAUAAAAUCACAUCCGCAGAAUACAGUGGCAAUAACACAGUUUUAAGAACAUAAUUAUACUACACCCCCCCGAGUAGGGUUUGUACUCUUUUGUUACUACUCACUUAACUGAUCUAAUAACUCCAUAAUAUAUAUAUUAUGCCUUGCCUUUCUAUUGCUAGAUGAUCAAAACCUCUUAAAAGAGAGACAGCGAGAAAAGAGUUUUUCUUUUUUCUAGUUAAUUCAUGGUUUGAUCAGGGCUUGCCAGGUUUUUUCCUUGGGUCAUGCUUAGUAUUGGCACCUGUAUCAUCAUAAUCCAGCAUUGCACCCAGCAUCAACAGCUUCCUGGAUGGAUUCGUUUGGAUCCCACCCUUCAUAAAGAAUUAAAAUCAACAGCAUUAGUUAUCCCCAAAGAUACAAGAACUCCCACAUUUCGAAAUACAACAUAUAUUUAUACGUGCAUUAAUUAUUAUUCUGCAUUUGCAACGAUUAUCAAAGCAAGCAGAUGUGAGGGAUUGUGGAGUACCAGAUGAAGUGAGUAUUUGGCCUGCAUGCCAUCCCGAAAGGCAGCAACGGUGCCUGCAAUACAAGUCUGGUCAGUGACAUGAUGAUGUUUUGGAAAUUAAUACAAGGUCUAGUGCUGACAUACAGAAUUAACAAGGAGAAGAAUGUACACUCGAUUAGAGUAUUACCACAGGAGAAAGGCAUGAGGAGCAAAGACAGCAAAAGGAAAGCCUUGAAGCAAAGAGCCAUGGCUAGCUGCGUUUGAUAGGGAGGGGGGAGGAUGUGAUGAGUUUGCUGGAGAGGGGUUAAGGUUGGGGAGGGGAAGGUGUGCUUUUAUUGUUGGUGUUUGAGGUAGGAAAAUGUGGCAUGGAGAGAGAGCUGUUGUCAUGGUGCACCCCACCCAAUAGCAAAAGAAUCAUGAUGAGUUGCAUUACCCCUUCUUUUGCCCACAACCCCUAAAGUCAACUGCACUGUUUUCAUAUUUAUAAUAUAUAUAUAUAUAUAUAUAUAUAUAUAUAUAUAUAUAUAUAUAUAUUGUUACAUCACACAAAGUGCACAAAAAGCAUUUGUAAAACUUAUAUGCAUGUCGGACAAAGGGAACAGUCGUUUGCAUGGCUCAAUCUAUAUCUAUACCCAUUCUCGGGUUGCCCUUUUUUCCGGCUGUAUUUCUCACCCUUUUCCCAACUCAAUCCAUCUCCACAUUAAUUUACACUAUCAAUAAUUUACCCUAAAAUCAUCUCUCUUUCUAUAUAUGUUACUAAUACUUUUACUUUAGCCUCUCAUUUGUUUCAACGGUGCACGUUACUCAAAUAAAAUUUAACAUCCCAUGUCUAUCUUCUUGAUAAAAUUACACUUAAAAAUUAAUUCUAUUUAUUAUGUGGAUUUGAUUUUCAUUAUAUAAUAAUAAUAAUAAUGUAGUGGGGGGAGGGGGGAGGUCAGAAAUCCUUCUCCUGGAUUUGUAAUUCCGUGGUACCAAACACCACUUUAUUGAAUAGUGGUUUUGAUCCUCAUGUUUCGGCUUUCAUCACUUUCCAAGGCAAUUAGAUGGAGACAAACAGGUUAGUGGCCUACAGACGAAAUCAAAUGCAAAAAGCAUUUAGGAUGUUGAAUUUUGGCGAGAGCCAUUAGCGGGAGCACUAUCAAAAGAAUAAAACAAAGCAAGGGAUGGGGGGACAACACAACACUUUGAACUCCCAACACUAAUUUUAAUUUAAUCAUUUAUUAACAUUAAAUUAAAAGUGUAAUUAAUCAUCUUUAAGGAGACCAUAUGUUGGCAAAAUGAUGCUUUCUUAUACCCAAAUUGAUUGACUAAUUAAUAAAACCUUAAUUUCAAAGUCGUCCAAAAGGAAUUAAAAUCAUUGUGUAUUCUUUUUAAUAUAUUUACAUAUAUAUAUAUAAAUAAUUAGUCAUAAGCAUACACAAAAUGAUAUAUGUAGCAUACAUGCAAGUGUUUGAUUUAUUAAUUAAUGUAUGAUUUUUUUCUUAAAGAGUAUAGUUUGAAUCAUCAUUCCAUCGAUUCAAAAAAAUAUAAUGUAUGUAACAUAUUUUGUGUUUUUAAAAAAUAAAAAUGAUGGGUUUAAUUUUAAAUUUAGACUUAAAAAAUAAGGAAAUUAUUGCAUAUUAUUGUGAUAUUUUUGAGAACUGAGGCAAGGGAAGCUGAAUGAUAAAAUUAAUGGUGGAUAUUUUCGGGUAUCAAAUGGUUCAACAAUGGCAGGAAUUGGUGAAGUCACUUACAAGAGUAGUACUGCUCAAAGUGGCAUAUGCUAUUCAUUGUGGAUGCUUAUUACAAUAUAUGUUUUCCUUUUUUUUUUUUGUUUGUUGGGUUACUCCCUGAUUUUUCCUCCAUUACCCAAUAGUUUGGGUUUUCGUUGCCUUGUACGGCCAUGAAAGGUCCUGAUGAGAGACAUGGAAGGAUUUACCCAAAAAAGAACAAAAUUGAGACAACUCGAUGCAUCCCCCCCUCCCUUCCUGCCUAAAUUUAUUAGAUAGGGGUGGUGGCGGUCAUAUCACAGCAGGUCACACCACAUUCUCUGAACUACCUUUAAAGGGGCAUAACCUGCCAUUUCCAUCUCUUUUCCCACUAAACCUCUGCCACCUGUUCGGAUGCCACAACUUUGAUCAAUGUGAUGUGAGUCGAGGCUUUCUCUAACAUCUUUUUUUAAUUAAACAAAAUAAAAAUAAAUAAAUUUAUAUUAUUUUUAUUUAUACAUAAUAUCAGUAAUUAAUACAUAUCUUUUCCCUCUUCUUCCAAGAAAGCAAUGCAAGUUGAUCUUAUUUUUCGGUACAAAUGUUUGUGAGAGAGGCAAUGAAAGCUAUCUUCAUAGCUCAUGCUGACAAAUUUGACAACAAAAGUAUGUACUAAAUUCGAUAAAUUAAUCAUGAUUUGCAAUUUCUUGGAUCUUUCCAACCAAUUGGAACUGCAAUUUCUAGUCAUAAACAAAAAGGCCUUUUGAGGGUUUGAAAGGUUUAUACAUACCAUGACAGCAACCUUUCCCUUUUCAAACCCUCAUGUAGUGUAAGACAAGAUGGUGAAGAUGGAAUGUAUCAAGGGCAGCAAAGUGCAUCAACUUGUUCUCUUCAUAAUAAGAUCAUUUGGGUUUUUUCUUUUGAUCUUUUUCAAACUUCUAAAUGAAGUUCAGGUCUGAUCAUUACAAGGCCUGAGUGAUACCAAUACCUUUUGGUCGUGAAUUUCAUGUGAUUUUUUCACUUCAUCUCCGAGCGUCGGUUACCAAAGCCUUGUAAAAGAUUGCUGCCCAAAUUUAAAGAGAAGCUUGUUUUCUAAUGAUCAGAUUUUUAAGAUUUAACAGGAUGUUGGAAGAAACUUUAUCCUGUGCGUGAUAACUAAUGGCUAGGAUGAACUCGUUAGACUACCAAAUAAAGUUUUCUCAGCUUUACAAAAGCAUUAGCUCUAUAUUGGUGUUGGUCAGUUUGUUCUUAUGAAGCUUGGAAUUUGACCCAAGUCCCAACAAAAGACGAAAUAGUCAAAAUCUUUGAAUAGUUAGCACAGUUCGAGCCAACUUUGAGGUGGGGUAUGAGUGGUUUGAAGCAAAUUAGUGGGAUGAAUGAGAAGCCAUAUCCCAUUCACAGGGUAAAGUUGAAUUCUAUAGAACCAGUCAAAGAGGCCGCACUUGAAUACUUGGUCAGCCUGUGAAAUUUUCAAUUUUCAGCCAUUAUUAAGAGCUCAUCAGAUGAAUAAGCAUCGGUUCCACUGCGAUCUUACUCUUUCCUAAUCCAUGAAUCACAAAAGCCACAUGGGUUGCUUAUUAGGAAUAUUCUCACUUGGAGCCAUUGAGAAAAAACCGCUAAUGCGAAGCAAAAAGGCAAACCCAGAAUUAUCUCAUUCGGCCCUACUAAUGUCAGCCCAAUUUGUGAUUUACUAUCACUAUGUAUAAGCAGUGAUAACCAAAAAUUCUAUUAUACAAUCUGAAACAACGGGAACAAAAUUGUAUACCCAAAGGAAAUGCAAAACAAAUAAUUUUAUGAAUGCAUGAUAUUGAACAAUUGACUCGAGACUUUUGCUAACAAUUCAAAUUUAUAAAAAAAAAAAAAAAAAAACCCCGACAACAACAACAAUGCAAUGCUGGAUGGAAUACUCCCAAUAGCAUGCUGUAUGUGGCUAACCCCCAACCCCACCGAAACAAAAUAUACAAAAGCAGCAGAGGUGAUUAAAUGCAACCCAGCCACUGACGUAUCAUACUUAAAAAAUAUGAAGAGUUGAACUACCAAAAGAAGGGGUUGAGUAACACUCAGAACCAAAACUAGGUGAUGGAAGGACAAUGGUGGAAAUGCAGUACUUGACAUGUCUUGAAGUGCUGCAGCACUUUGAACCAAAUUCUCAGUCAUCCACUCCAACAACCUAAAUUUAAUUGGAGAAAACCACACCAAGGCAAAAAUGAUGUUUGUCUUGACAAAUGGGGCGUAGAAACAGCACGUGACCAAGCUAGGUGACUAGUCAGUCUUUCCCACAUGUCACAGUUACUGAUCCUCCCCUACUUCAAUCUUUCAGGACCAACAGAUAUUCUCUCCCCCAGUUUCAUGGAGACCUUCAUCAACUUCUCUGAAACCAUCUUAAUCCACUUCCUCCAUGACAAAAGAAAAAAAAAAGGAAUCUGACCCCAUGAUGAUGAUGAUGCAAGAGUUAGUGACAACUUGAAGACUGAUUACUUCUGUUGUCUGACAAAGGCGAUGACUUGACACAUGCAAUCCCAGACCCUCAACUCAACACACCCAAAUGCAUGGACUUCCAAAAGAAAAUAAACAUGCUGAAUGGCAACACCCUCAAACAGAAAUGGCACGACUAAUGGCCAACUUGGCCCAUUCAGCAGAUUCUUUAAUCAUAAGGUCUUCAGAAGACAAGCAUUCAUUUAAAAAGUCUUUGCUUGACGGGGAUUGCUGUAUCAGAGAACCAGCAUGACUUCCCAAUGUAUCAGCUAGAUCUCCAAGGACUCCAAUGGCUGUCUUCAUAACCACAUCAUCCCUAUAGGCAAACAAGUAACAUAAAAAGAUGUUAUUAACCAUACAUCAAAGGACAUGUCAUGCAAUAAAGUAAAAGCCUAAAAGAGUAACUUUUAGUAGAACUCACAUGUCUUUCUCAAUGUAUAUGCUAUCCAAGAACUGAAGGAUGUGAGAUGCAUAGGGAAUCAAGAGCUGGGUUUUUGGAGAGUUCUUAAACCCUUGGAAAACCCCAGAAUAUGCCUCCAGAAUUCCAUUUCUCAGUGAAUUUGUGUACUCUGUCAAUUCAUCAUCACCUGCUGUAUGGGUAGACAACUCUGCUGCACUCUGAAGCGCGGACAUGGCCCACAUUAAGUACUUUUCAAAAUACUCCCCUACGGCCAAUGCAAUGUCGCCGAAGCAUGAAAAUAUGGGAGGUUUCACAGAACGAUGCAACUGGUUGCUUGAUAAAUUCUUGAGAAGUUGUGUCAUAAUCCCGUCACAGUAGGGCACAAUUUUUUCCUCUAUUGCCCUGGAAAUAUCACCAACAACACCAACUGUGACAGCACAGACUUGGUACUCCUCAAAAUUCUGAAGACCCAUCUCCAAGUACCUAUAAAACUCUGGCAUAUACUUUGCAAAAUCUGGUCCUGUUGCAUAAGCAAGGGCUCCAAUGGCAAGCAUGGCCUCCUCGUGUACAGUGGCACUCCUACAAGCAAAAACCCUAAGGAAAAGCCCCAUUAUCUGAUCUGCAUACUGCAUGAGCACAUACUUGGUUGGUUCUGAUGAACCAAGCUUCUGAAUGAUGACCUGUAAACACCCACAAAGAAGGCCCUGCAAUUCACUUUGCUUCUCCCUUUCAUCAGAAGACAGUUUCUGCCCCUCAAGGGUGUUAUGAAGCUCCAUCAUGAUUACAGGCACCAAUUGCAACACCAAUGAAGCUGUCUCAUCGGUUGAACACCUCACCACUUCAUUCAAUGUCUCAUAGGCAGCAGUCCUCAGUCGGGAUUCCCCAGCAUCUUCUCGAUGAGUAACAGUGAGAAGGGACUGGACAAUUUCUUGGAAAAAAGGAGUUAAAGGAGAUGAUGGACCCACCUCCUCAUAACCUUGAGCAAGAAAAUAGAGAGCACCACAGGCUUUCUCAGCAACAUUUGGAGUGUCCUUCAUACUCUGCAGCAGAACUGUGACUAUCUGUUGGCAAUUUGCCUGAGUGAUGAUAGGUGAAUCUACAGCAGAACCAUGAAGGAAUUCAAAGAUCCGUCCAAGGGCCCAGGCAGUAGUGUCUUUGACAUGGCUAUUGGGGUCCUUUGUCAAAGCACUGAGCAUGAAGGUUAAGGCAACAUUCACAAGAGAUAGCAACUUUUCAGGGGAAGGACCCUCCAAGAUUGAACCAAAGGCAUAAGUUGCCGCCUCCCUCUGCCUCCAAUCUGGUUUUGUUAUAUUCUCCUCAAUAAAUGGCACAACAAGAGGGACAAUAUCAUCUCCUACAGUCCGCGCAACCAAACCUAGACAGGUUCCGCCAGCCAUUGCAAUAUUCCAAGCCCCCUCAUCCUGAUCCUGAUCCUCCUCUUGCUUCAAGAGAGUCUCCAACAGCAUAGGAACAAGAGCAGGGAGUGCCUGCUUGAUAAAGUAAAAGCAAGGAAUAUCAGAGUCCCCAGUGAAAUCACUUCCAUAUUCUUCCAAAAUAUCUAUCUCCUCAUCACAUAUUGAACUCCAGAACUCAAUGGCUUGAAGUGAGACAGGUUCCUCAUCUUCCCUCACGGCCUUUGCCGUGAUGUUAAAAAUAUCCUGGAUAUAAGGAGCUAGUUUCUCGUAGUAAGUUGAUGAAAUGGAAACCAAACACUCGAAAGCUGCCUGCCUUAUCCUCACUUCUGGGGAUAGUGUUGCCUCACAGACAACUCUCAUUAUAUAAUCACGCUCCAUGUCAUUGCUGAAAUUUGCCUGAGCAAAUCCCAGUGCAUUGUAAAGUGCCCUUGUAGCAGCAAGCCUCACAUCAGUGUUUCCUUCUGAUGCACUCAUACCUUGAACUACAGCAGUAAGUAUUUUAUUUACUUGAUCUUGAUCAAUAACAUCAGGUGAGACCUCCUCACACAUAUACCCAAGAGUCUCUAAAGUGGCUUGCGUAGCAUGAGCUGGUAGCUGAUGAACAUUUGAUAAAAGCAAACUUAUCAACUCAGGCCACUGUUUCUGUGGCAACUCAAUGCCAGCAACCUUGGCAAUAACUUGAGAUGCAGUUGACCGAGCAUCAGAUACUGGAGAAGACAGAGUCUUCAGUAAGCAUGCCUUAAUCUGGCUCUUUGCAUUGGUGUCCAAUGACAACCAUCUUUGAACCAGCUCAAACUUCCUGUGCUGUUCCUUCGCAUCCAACGCAUUCUUAAGUAUCAAACCCGCUAAUUUACGUGUUUCAACAGGCUUCUCCUCAUUUGCCAACUCCACAGAAAGUGACAGCAAGAAACCAGGAAGGUUCUGCUCCUGGAACUGUUUCAAGCUUUCUUCAGCAGUCUUGCGCACAGCUCCAUCUAUAGAUUGUGCAUUUAAAAGCACCUGUGUAACUUCCAUCGCCCUAAUAUUUUGAAAAGCAUCAAUAAUUAAAACAAAUAGAUACACAAAUUCAAUAAAUAAAGUAACAUAUAUAUUCCAACACCUCGAUUCUGAAAACACAUCCAACCUAAAGGAAAACCCAAACCCUUAAAUUUGUUGAAGAAGAGUAAAAGACAGUAACAAGAAUAAAUCAAAUGCAGCGAUUACAUCAAAUUGAUCCAUCAAAACGUUAUUGUCAGCUCUACAUACAUACUUGGUAACUGAUAGGAUCACUCAAAUAUUCGGGAUCAAUUGUGCCAAUUUGCCAUUAAAAACUUAAACUUUAAAAUUUGGCAAAUAAAAUCAAACAAAAAUCCCAGAUCAUAAUAGAUUUAAAAUAAAUACAAUAAUACUUAGAAAUUCUAUCGCUCAAAUCUUUCCCAAAAAAGAAAAAUCUAAUCCUCUAACUAGUACUACAAAUAAACAACACCCUAAGAUUAAAAAAACGAAAAAGGAGAGCGGAUCAAUGCAUUGAAUAUCGAAUAACCAAAUCACUACCCAAAACCCUAAUUACAAGCAGAAAUGAAACUUUAAGAGCGGAAUUCGACAAAAUUACCUUAAAAUUCACGAAAUUCGAUGCAGAUUUUACUUUCCACCGAUCGGAGAAGGCCGAAAGGGGCUGAGUAGAACCCUAGUAUUAGGAGAGAGAAAAUGAAAAAGGAAAAGGAAAAGGACGAAUAAGAAGAAGAUGGAGACGCGGAUUCGGAGCUGGCCUCAAGUAAUUUAUACAAAUCUAUAUUUUUAUAUUAUUUUUUAGGGGAAAUGUUAACUGUACUACUUAACUUGAUAGUAUUACUUCUACGAUACUGUCUUCUUUUUUUUUUUAAAAAAAAAAGGGGGUAAAUUUGAUGCAUUAAAUGAAAAUUAUUUUUAAAAAGAAUAAUGUAAGUAACUUCAAAAGUGCUUAUAGCCAUUUUCUCAUUUUAACUUAAUAUUUCAGGAUUUUCUUUAUUAAAUUGUGCCAAAAUUGUGUACAUUUUAUUUUAUUUUCAAACAAUUACUGUGUUUUCAAUAUUUCACAUUAAUUUUAGUAGUUUUUUAUAUUUGAAUUUAAAAAAUAGAAUUUAUCAAUAUUAUAAAAUAAAAAAUAAAUUUGAAUUUAAUAUCUCUGAUAUUAUUUCUAAGGGAUGAUUUAAAAAACAGUUUUCAGAAAUUAAUUAAUAUAAUAGUAUUUAAAAAUGUCGUCGUAUUGAUGAGUAGAAUGAUUCUAAAAAGAAAAGACGAGACGCUUACAACACUUAACAAAACGGGUUCCGCAAGGUGUCUCAAUGGGGCCACUUUUAAGCUUUGUUUAAUCUUGCAUGGGGCAACUUGGUGGUAAUUAAGAUUUGCUUACGGAAAAAAAGUCAUCCUGGUUAACGGUUAAGAUUGCUUUAUAAGAACCUACGUUGACAUUCAAGUCUUCUCGGUCAUCUGAAGCGGACCGUCCAAAGACGUUAGUAAAGUUUUUGGAUUUGUACUUUGUAACUAUAGAGUUGGUUUCUGAAGCAGUUAUACUUUAUAUAUGGUAAGGCCACGUUCGGUUGACAAAGUGCGUUUCUUGUUUUCCUAGUAAUUAAUACCAUUACUAAGACAGGUUUUAAUUACGUGAACUACAUUUUAGUGUACCGAGUGCUCUUCAUUUCUCAUGUUCGUGACUCCCUUGUAUGGAUUCCUCCCAUUCCUAGUUUCUGAGUUUCCUAUUAGCAUUUUGGAAAUUGGACAAGUGAUCUGGUCUCACUCGCAUCACACGGCUGAAAACAGACGAAGAUUCUCAAAGGAAGGAAUUGUGUGCUUUAGGUGGCACUCAGUUCAAGACAAAGGAGGAGUUUGGUUCCUUCCUCCUCCUCACUUUGAAGAUAAUUUUCAUAAAAAUCUAUAUAUGUUCUGUUCAUUUGCAUGUCUACAUCAUAAUGAUAAUGGUUUGGGAUGUUUUGCUCGAAAUGCCCAACCAGGGAGUUGAGGAAAGGAGGUGGUCUGAUAUUUUCUUUUUUCUUGAUAUACCUUCUAUGACUUCUUACUUUGGUAUAUCUUCUAUGAAUUGAAUCCUUUCUCACUUUUUACCUUUCUUUCAAGCACCACAUUAUACCCUAAUUCAUUAGUCCUAUGGACCAAAUAAACUACAUUAAUAAUUUUAAUCUGGAAAUGAACUAAGACUUACAAGAAAAGGCGUAAGAAAAGCAGCUUCAUUCCUUGGAGGGAAAUGCAAUGCAAGAGCUACAGCCCAAUCAAAUUUAAUCAAAGCUACAGAAAUUCUAAAAUGAAGCAAAAAGGCAACUGCCCUAUUUAAGCAUUUAAUCAAGAUAUACAUUGCCUCAUCCAGCCCUUUUCAUGUCAAGCCCACAUUUUGAUAUGGUAUCACUUUCUAUAAGCAGUGACAACUAAAAAUAAAAUUAUACAAUCCCAACUCUGAAGCAACGGGAAAAAAAAUUGUAUAAUGGAAGGAAACAGAAAACAGAUAAUUUAUGAAUGCAUGAUAUUGAACAUUUGACUCAAGACCUUCUAAAAAUUGAAAUUAAACAGAAGAAGAAAAAAGGAACAACAAUAAUGCAAUGCAGGAUGGAAUGAUCCCAAUAGCAUAUGCAGUACGUGGUUAACCCCAGACCCCACUGAAAUAAAAUAUACAAACUAUGCAGCAGAGAAUAAAUGCAACCCAGCCACUAGUGUAUACUUAAGAAAUAUGCCGACUUGAACUAGAAAAAGAUGGGGGUGAGGAACGAUCAGAACCCAAACUAGGUGAUGGAAGGCCAAUGGUGAAAUGCAGCACUUGAGAUGUCUUGAAGUGCUGCAGCACUUUGAACCAAAUCCUCAGUCAUCCACUCCAACAACCUAAGUUUACAUGGAGAAAACCACACCAAGGCAAAAAUGAUGUUUGUCUUGACACAUGGGGCGUAUAAACAGCAAGUGACCAAGCACCUGACUAGUCAGUCACUCCAGCUUGUCAGUUACUGAUCCCUCCCUACUUCAAUCCUUCAGGACCAAAAGAUAUUCUCAACCACAAUUCAUGGAGGUGCUCAUUAACUUCUCUGAAACCAUCUCUAUCCUCUUCCUCCAUGACAAAAAUAUGGAAUCUGACCCCAUGAUGAUGAUGAUGAUGAUGAUGAUGAUUGAUGAUGAUGCAAGAGUUAGUGACAACUUGAAGACCGAUUACUUCUGUUGUCUGACAAUGGCGAUGACUUGACACAUGCAAUCCCAGACCCUCAACUCAACACACCCAAAUGCAUGGACUUCCAACAGAAAAUAAACAUGCUGAAUGGCAACACCCUCAAACUGAAAUAGCACGACUAAUGGCCAACUUGGCCCAUUCAGCAGAUUCUUUAAUCAUAUGGUCUUCUGAAGACAAGCAUUCAUUUAAAAAGUCUUUGCUUGAGCGAGAUUGCUGUAUCAGAGAACCAGCAUGACUUCCCAAAGUAUCAGCUAGAUCUCCAAGGACACCAAUGGCAGUUUUCAUGACCACAUCAUCCCUAUAGGCAAAUACAUAACAUAAAAAUUGUUAAUAAAAACACAUCAAAAUUCAAAUAACAAGCCAUUCAGUAGAGUAAAAGCUAAUAAGAGUAUCUUUCGGUAGAACUCACAUGUCUUUCUCCAUGUAUAUGCCAUCCAAGAAUUGGAGAAUGUGAGGUGCAUAGGGAAUCAAGAGCUGAGUUUUUGGAGAGUUCUUAAACCCUUGGAAAAUCCCAGAAUAUGCCUCAAGAAUUCCAUUUCUCAGAGAAUUUGUGUAUUCUGUCAAUUCAUCAUCACCGGCUGUAUGGGUAGACAACUCUGCUGCUCUCUGAAGUGCGGACAUGGCCCACAUUAAGUACUUUUCAAAAUACUCUCCCACUGCCAAUGCAAUGUCGCCAAAGCAUGAAAAUAUGGGAGGCUUUACAGAACGAUGCAACUGGUUGCUUGAUAAAUUCUUGAGAAGUUGUGUCAUAAUACCAUCACAGUAAGGCACAAUUUUUUCCUCCAAUGCCCGGGAAAUAUCACCAACAACACCAACUGUGACAGCACAGACUUGGUACUCUUCAAAAUUCUGAAGACCCAUUUCCAAGUACCUAUAAAAAUCUGGCAUGUACUUUGCAAAAUCUGGUCCUGUUGCAUAAGCAAGGGCUCCAAUGGCAAGCAUGGCCUCCUCAUGUACAGUAGAACUCCUACAAGCAAAAACCCUAAGGAAAAGCCCCAUUAUCUGAUCUGCAUACUGCAUGAACACAUACUUGGUUGGUUCUGAUGAACCAAGCUUCUGAAUAAUGACCUGCAAACACCCACAAAGAAGGCCUUGCAAUUCACUCUGCUUCUCUCUUUCAUCAGAUGACAGUUUCUGCCCCUCCAGAGUGUUAUGAAGCUCCAUCAUGAUGACAGGCACCAAUUGCAACACCAAUGGAGCUGUCUCAUCGGUUGAACACCUCACCACUUCAUUCAAUGUCUCAUAGGCAGCAGUCCUCAGCCGUGAUUCCCCUGCAUCUUCUCGGUGGGUGACAGUGAGAAGGGACUGGACAAUUUCCUGGAAGAACGGAGUUAAAGGAGAUGAUGGACCCACAUCCUCAUAACCUUGAGCAAGAAAGUAGAGAGCACCACAGGCCUUCUCAGCAACAUUUGGAGUGUCCUUCAUACUCUGAAGGAGCACAGUGACUAUCUGCUGGCAAUUUACCUGAGUGAUGAUGGGUGAAUCUACAGCAGAACCAUGAAGGAAUUCAAAGAUUCGUCCAACAGUCCAGGCAGUAGUGUCUUUGACAUGGCUGUUGGGGUCCUUUGUCAAAGCACUGAGCAUGAAGUUUAAGGCAACAUUAACAAGAGGUAUUAACUUUUCGGGGGAAGGACCCUCCAAGAUUGAACCAAAGGCGUAAGUUGCCGCCUCCCUCUGCCUCCAAUCUGGUUUUGUUAUAUUCUCCUCAAUAAAUGGCACAACAAGAGGGACAAUAUCAUCACCCACAGUCCGUGCAACCAACCCAAGACAGGUUCCCCCAGCCAUUGCAAUAUUCCAAGCCCCUUCAUCCUGAUCCUGAUCUUCCUCCUGCUUCAAGAGUGUCUCCAACAGCAUAGGAACAAGCGCAGGGAGUGCUUGCUUGAUAAAGUAAAAGCAAGGAAUAUCAGAAUCACCAGUGAACUCACCUCCAUAAUCUUCCAAAAUAUCUAUCUCCUCAUCACAUAUUGAACUCCAGAACUCAAUGGCUUGAAGGGAGACAGGUUCCUCAUCUUCCCUCACAGCCUUUGCUGUGAUGCUAAAAAUAUCCUGGAUAUAAGGAGCUAGUUUCUCGUAGUAAGUUGAUGAAAUGGAGACCAAACACUCGAAAGCUGCCUGCCUUAUCCUCACUUCUGGGGACAGGGUUGCCUCACAGACAACUCUCAUUAUAUAAUCACGCUCCAUGUCAUUGCUGAAAUUCGCCUGAGCAAAUCCCAGAGCAUUGUAAAGUGCUCUGGUAGCAGCAAGCCUCACAUCAGUGUUUCCUUCUGAUGCACUCAUACCUUGAACUACAGCAGUAAGUAUUUUAUUUACUUGAUCUUGAUCAAUAAUGUCAGGCGAGACCUCCUCACACAAAUAUCCAAGAGUCUCUAAAGUGGCUUGCUUAGCAUGAGCUCGUAGCUGAUGAAUAUUCGAUAAAAGAGAACCUAUCAACUCGGGCCACUGUUUCUGUGGCAACUCAAUGCCAGCAACCUUGGCAAUGACUUGAGAUGCAGUUGAUCGAGCAUCAGCUACAGCAGAAGAGAGAGUCUUUAACACGCAUGCCUUAAUCUGGCUCUUCGCAUUGGCGUCCAAUGACAACCAUCUUUGAACAAGCUCAUAUUUCCUGUGUUGUUCCUUAGCAUCCAAUGCAUUCUUAAGUAUCAAACCUGCCAAUUUACGUGUUUCAACAGGCUUCUCCUCAUUUGCCAACUCCCCAGAAAGUGACAGCAAAAAAGCAGGAAGGUUCUGCUCCUGAAAUUGUUUCAAGCUUUCCUCAGCAUUCUUCCGCACAGCUCCAUCUAUUGAUUGUGCAUUCAAAAGCACCUGUGUAACUUCCAUCGCCCUAAUAUUCCUGCAAGAACAAUGACAGAAAUUCAAAAGGUAAUACAAUAAAGCUUAAAUAUUCCAACACCUAAAUCCUGAAAACGCAUAAAAGGCCAAAAAAAAAUAAAGGAAAAAGAAAAAACCGUAUUAUGAGUAACACUAUCUGAACUAAGGGCAAACUAACAUGAAACAGAACCUUAAAAUUAAUCGAAAAAGUGUAAACGAAAGUAACAAGAAUGAAACCAAUGUGCCGCAAAUAAAUCAAAUUGAUCCAUCCCUAUUGUCAUUUUUACUUACAUACUAAGCAACUGAUAGGGAACACUUAAAUAUUUGGGAUCAACGUAGCAAUUCGACAUUGAAAACUUAAACUUCGAAAUUUUGGCGAGCAAAAAUUCAAACAAAAAUCCUAGAUCACAUUAGAUUUAAAUUAAAUACAAUAACACUUAGAAAUUCGAUCGUUCAAAUCUUUCCAAAAAAAAUUAUAAUACUCUAAUUAGUACUACCCUAAAAUUAUAAAACAAAAAAGAAAGCGGAUCAAUGCAUCCAAUAUCGAAUGCCCAAAAUCACUAUCCAAAACCCUAAUUACAAACAAAAAUGAAACCUUCAGAAAGGAGUUCAACAAGAUCACCUUAAAAUUCACGAAGUUUGAUGCAGACUUUACCUUUCACCGAUCGAAAAGAUCGAAAGCGGCUGAGCUGAACAAAACCCUAAUAAUUGAAGAUAGGAAAUGAAAAAGAAAAAAAAGGAAACGGAGGAAGAGGAGAAGGAGAAGCGGAUUUGAAGCAGGACUAGAAUAAUUUAUACCAAAUCUAUAUUUUAAAUCAUUUUUUAAAUAGUAUAUUUGUAGUAUUAAUUCCUUUGGCCGUUUUUGGCUAGUACGUGUUCCACAGGGUGUCAAAGUGGACCCACCUAAAAGUUGACCGACUUUCUACGUGGGCAAUUUGGUAAUUAGGAUUUGCACAUGAAGAAAGUCAGCUGACUUAAUGGUUAAGGUGGCUUUAAAAGAAACACAGUUGACAUCUGUCAUCAUAUGGUACGUUUAGUAAUUGUACAGUUAGAUUUUGUUACUUCAGCAGAACAAGCAGUCUAAUGUCCAUUUAUGGUUAAACUUUUUCUUAAAAGAUUAAAAAAAAAACAAAAGAAUUAAUGCAGAAAAUCUAGUUGAUAAUGUGGGUCUUUUUUUUAUUUCUACUAAUACCAUUAUUAAGACAGAUUUUCAGAAAUUAAGUUUAAUGAAUAUGAUUAAAAAAAACAUGAGCUUUUUAUUUAAUGAACAUGUAUCAAAUUUCAUCUUAAUUAUUGAAGCUUGUUUGAUGAAAAUUUUCUUUUGCAUGGAAUGAUAGCAAAGAUAGAUAAAAAUUAAAAUCCAUCGAUUUAUUUUAAUCAGUAUUCAUACAUAGAUCUAAUAAAUAUGAUACAAAAUUAAAUAGAUUUAGGUUUAAGAUAAUUGUGUUUCGUAUUUUAAUUGUAUCCCUUGUCUUAAAUGUGUCAAAUACAUUUAAUCCAUUUAAGAUAUAUUUAAUUAUUUGUGUUAUUAUGUAUUCCUAUAACCUACUGCCUAUUUCAUUAAUCAUGUACAUGUGCCUAUUGACACAUUUAUAACCCAAUUAUCACCCGUUUAAAUCUCAUAUAAAUAUUUUAUUUAUUAUAAUUGAUGAUGAUAGUGGUAGAUUUUUAUUAUACUUGAUGAAUAUUAUUGUUUUAUUAGUAAUUUUUUAUGAUUAUUAAUUUUAAAUUUGACUAAUGAAAUUACAUUUCAUUUAUAAUUAUAUGCAUUUUAAUUUAAUUAUGUUUAAAAUUUUAAUCAUGUUAAUCAUUUAAAUAAGUUACAAAUCAUGUCGUUUCAUAAAAAAUUUAUUUCAUUUCGAUUAAUAAACGUGUUAAACAUGUUAUGUUAUAUUACAUGUUUUAUAAAUGUAUUUGUAUUAAUAUUUAAGAUAUUAACAAGUUUAAUUAAUAGCAUAUUGGUAUUUACUUAUAUAAUUAUUAAUAUUUUAUAUUUUCAUAACAUGGUUAAGACACAUGAACUUCAAAGAAGCCUUAAAAAAAAAAAAAAACAAAAGAACAAUAUUGGUCAAAGGAAGAUGGAGUGACAAAUUUAUACAAAAGCUUUUGCUCUAUUUCUGAUCUGUUCCCUUGUCUAUUUACAGAAACACAAGCCAAAAUUAUUGGACUUGGUUUUCUUUUAUCAUGUGCUGGGAAUGGGAUGGGAUGUUACAUAAUCCAAAUCCAAAGCAUUGCAUGAAUUACGUUUCUAGAGACUAGAGUUCGUCAUGGUCAUCAUCAUAGUCGUCAUCGUCGAUGCUGUCAUCAUAGAGUGAGUUGUAGAAUAUGCUCUCGUGAUUGAGAAUCUCUUCCAUGGUCAAAUUCCCAUCUUUGUUAUCAUCAGCCUGGAGUCAAAACAAAAUUCAGAAACCCAUGGAGUAUUUUACAAAUUCAAACAAUAUCAUUAUACAAUUAUUAAUUGACUUCACCUCGUAAAUCAGAUAACUGGUGUAGUACUUGGCGUAAAACAGUUCACCAGGGUAGAGAUAACGGAGUAUGGGUCUCAAUUCAUCCAGCUCCAGGUAUCUGCAAAAGGGCUCAAAGUUGUAUAGAUGGUUAUAAAUUUAUAGGAUCACCACCAGUUAUUGGAAGAGAAAAUAGAAAUUACUUGUCUUCGUUGAUAUCUAGCUCUACGAAUUUCUCUUCAGCUGUGGGUGCAAGAGCAGCAGCAGUCUCGAAUUCAGCAUAGCUUUUGUAUAUGUUGUAUGCAUAAUCGAGAAAUUCCUUGAAGUUGAGUUUGCCAUCGUGAUCAUCGUCCAUCCGUCUGCUCAAUCAGGGAAAAUCAUCAUAACUUUAUCCAGCGCAAGCAAAUGAUAGAAACAGAGAAAACGUGAGGAAACAAACUUCAUUUUUUCUCUCAACAGCCAUUUCUGAAUUUCUUCGUUGUCACUAUCCUCCGGAUGUAAGAAACUGUAGGAAAAAGGAUUGGGUAAACCUGAUCGAUAUAGCUUUGCAGUAUUGACCAAAGAAGCCAACCCACCCCCACCCCCGNAGAAAGUAUUUACUCUUUGAAUUCGUUGAAGUCAAGAGUCCCAUUGGAAUUCAGGUCUGCAUUGUUAAAUUGCUCCAUCCACCAUCCAGCUUCACCGUGCUCUUUUCUAUUUUUUGCUGUUCCACAUUCAACUUUUCAAUUCAUAUGCAAAGAAAUCUUAUUGUUGCAUCUAUUUGGCUAUAAUUAAGGAAACUAGGAACAUUUUAUAUCAAUUACAUUAAACAUUUGAACCCAGAUAUAGCCAAAGAUUUCAAAGUUUCUUUCCUUACCUAUAUCAUUCUCGUUAAAAUGAGGCAGAUACUCGCUGAAGCUGAUAGCUCCAUCCCCAUUUUUAUCGUGCCAUGACAUGACUUUAUUGGUUCUAAAACUCAAACGAUCCAUUGCCUGUUGCCCAAUCCAAGCCCCUAGCUCCUUGGCACUGAUUAAACCAUCUUUCGGUGCACUGUCUAGCAAAGGGAACAAAAUCAUCAACCGCAGAGUGGUGUUUAAAGUUCCGUCGUCGCCGAAGAACUCGUCGGCGUCUGCAACCUCAGGAACAUAAGAAAUGUGUUCCGGAUCAACGUGAUAGCUCAAUCCUUUUUCUUCCGCCGAUCUCUCGAGUCUUGCGACCAGAGGGUCAAAAUGUGGAGCUUUGUAGCCAAGGCGGCGACUCAGGCCUGAACGGGUAUGAUGACCAUGCCGUUUGUUUUGGAAGAACACGAAUAAAAUGAUGAAGGCGGUGGCCAGAAAGGUGUAAACCACCGCCUUCGCCAUUUAAUGGCUUCAACAGGGAUUAGGGAUGAGUGGAUAAUGGUAGCAUAAACAAUAACGGGAAAGUUCAAUGAAGUUAGAUAAUGAUUUUCCCGUCUCUUUCCUUUUUUUUUUCUUUUUUUUUAUUAUCCAUUGAAGUCAAUGAACAUGGGGUGGCGGGAAAAACGGUUAUUGGCAGUUAGAAUCGAGAGGCAUAUACAUAAAGCACUCAAAUUAGGGGGGGUUUAAAUUUAAUUCAGAGAUUUGGGUUUUCUUUGAUUUAUUAGGCUUUUUAACUUUACUUUGUUUUCAGAAGCCAAAAGGAGAAAGUUAGACAGGCAUGCUAAUUCUUGCCUACUUCAUAAAAUCUUCAAUGUUCAAAUCUGUGUAACACUUUUGACAUUAGCGGCCAAGGUUGUCCCAACACAAGGCCUGUUCUGAUCGGAUUACACUACCACCAAUGAGCUUUAUUGGUCCACGUCAUCAUGAACGACAAGUUCCAAUGUCCGAGGUUUGAACACAAACACACCGAUAGUUGCGGUAUAAGCUACCAUGUAAACCUCAGUUAACGACCAAUGUCUCUGCACUCUAGUCUAUCAAAGAUGCAUUUCUCAUUAAUUAAGACUAGGAAGCAAGCGAACAAAGAAGAAAGAAGAAAAUCGUGGAGCUUCUUCACUUGGCUCACUAUUGCAAAUUAAAGAGGAGGCCACCAAGUUCGGGAACGGUAAUUGGGACAGACCUUGGCGCGACUUAUUCUUGUGUUGGUGUGUACAGAAAUGGUCAUGUUGAGAUCACAGCCAAUGACCAGGGUAACAGAAUUACCCCUUGGUGGGUGGCAUGCCAUAUAGUGACAGUGAGAGAUUGAUUGACAGGUGAGGCAGCAAAUAAUCAGGAGGCUGUCAAUCCUGAGAGGACCGUCUUCGAUGUCAAAAGACUUAAUCGAAGAAAGUGAAUAUUCUCAGUUUAUAAUUUGUGCAUCAAAUAGCUGAACGGGGUUUUUGGCUGAUUUGAUGACAGAGGGGUUCAGAAGGAAAGCUUGUAGCAUGCAAGAUUGUUAACAAGGAUGGGAAGCCUUGUAUUCAAGUGAAAAUUAAGGAUGAGGAAACCAAGGUCUUCAGCCCUGAAGAGAUAAGUGCAAUGUUUCUUACAAACAUGAAGGAAACAGCAGAGUCAUUUCUUGGAAAGAAAAUGAAAGAUGCCGUCGUUACUGCUUCAAAUAACAUUCUUUUUUAUCUGUAGAAGUCAGAUCUUGUUGACUUACAAGGUAAACUAUGGUUUCUGUUUCUGAAGGUUGACUUGAAUUUGCUUGUAUAAAUGUCAGCAGCUUACUUCAAUGACGCACAAGGGCAAGCUGCAAAAUGAUUCCGGUACACGAUUGCUGGACUGAAUAUUGCUAGAAUAAUCAAUGAACCAACUGCAGCAGCCAUUGCCUAUGGUUUGGACAAAAGGGUAGUGAAAAGAACGUUCUUGUCUUUAACCUUGGCGGUGAAACAUUUGAUAAUGGUGCUUUUGAAGCUCUUACCACAAAUGGAGAUACUCAUUGGGGGAGGCAGGCUUCUUUCUGGCUACCACGUUGCUUCGGCUGGUAACCUCUCAGUUGAAAAUUCGACAAAGAAUCAGGACUAAUGCAGACUAAUAUUUUCUUCAGGAGAGGAUUUUCAUCGGAGAAUCAUGGAAUACUUCAUUAAAUUGAUCAAGAAAAAAAAAGAAUGGAAAGGACAACAAAGCUUUCGGAUAGUUAAGGAGAGAAUGUGAGCGAGCCAAGAGAGCACUGAGCAGCCAGCAUCAGGUCCGCGUGGAGAUUGAAUAUCUGUUUGAUGAAACAGAUUUCUGAAACCACUUCCUCAAGCUCGAUUUGAAGAGUUGUAUAACGAUCUGUUCAGAAAACCAUGGGACCUGUCAAGAAAGCCAUGGAGGACGCUGGUUUGCAGAAGCACCAGAUUGAUGAAAUUGUAUUUGUUGGUGGAAGCACUUGAAUUCCCAUGGUUCAACAGCUUCUUAAGGAAUUCUUUGAUGGGAACGAACCAAACAAGGGUGUGAACCCAGAUGAGGCCGUCGCAUAUGGUGCUGCUAUAUAGGUAAGUAUCUAGAGUGGAGAAGGAGGCGACAGAACCAAAGGUAAAAAUUCUUUUUCCAAAUUUCCAGUUUCUAUAUCUCUUUCCUAUUGUUGAUCAAGCAGGUUCCGGAAGCUGAGAACUGACUAUUGUUUUUGUCAUCAAAUGUGCUUCAGAUAUACUUCUACCGGAUGUGGCACCGCUGACCUUGGCAACGAAACUGUUGGUGGGGUGAUGACCAGGUUUUUGACGGUGAAAGGAGUCUCACAAAGGACUACAGGAUGCUUGGGAAAUUCCAUUUAUUUGAUAUUGCUCCAGCUCCAAGGUGAAUAAUUUACCAUGGCUGUCAUCCAUCUGUUUUAAGAAAAUUCACGUCCUGGAUCCUGUUAGCAAGGAAGGUAACGGUAGUUCUCUGCUUCCACUAAUUUCUGGAUUGUUUAAGAUUUUGGAUGCUUGUAAAUAGAUGUGGGACCGUUUAUGAUACCUUCACUGGUUGGUCCUUAUUUUGGCUGUGUUUUUUGUAAGUCAGGUUUGUAACUGACUGCUGUCUCAAGUCAGAUUCUUUUGUAAAUUACAGGGACUCCCUGUCUUGAUCAAUGAAAAUCCUUACUUAUUCAAAAAAAAAAAAGAAAAUUCAUGAAAAUGCGUGCCAACUCGUUUGUUUCAACAGAGGAACCCCCAGAUUGAAGUUACAUUCGAGGUAGAUGCAAUGGUGUAUUAAACGUUAGGGCAAAAGACAAGGCCUCGGGGCGGCGGUCUGAGAAGAUUACAAUUGCCAAUGACAAAGGUAGGUUGAGUCAAGAUGAGAAUUGACCGUAUGGUUCAGGAAGCAGAGCAGUUUGCCGAGGAAGACAAGAAGAUGAAAGCGAAGAUCGAUGCUUGAAUAGCUUGGAGAACUAUGUUUACAAUAUGAAGAACCACAUAAAUGACUAAGGCAGGCUUGCUGAGUCUGAAGAGGAGGAGAAGAUAGAUUCAGCAAUUAAAGACGCCCUGGAGUGGUUGGAUGACAAGCAAAAUGCAGAAGAGGACUUUGCUGAGAAGCUGAAAGAGGGGGGGUUGUCAAGAGUAGAGAGACAGGGAAAAGGGCGAGGAUUGCUCCCCUGUAUGCUUCCUAUUUCACAUGUUCAAUUUUGGGUGGGGAAGUGAAAAUGACAAGUUUAUUAAAUUUACAUUUUAAAACAUUUAUCAUUUUAAUAAUAAAUAAUUUAUUUAAAUUUUUAAAUAUAUUUUUAAAUAUUAAUAUAUGAUACUGUUUUUAUUAUCUAAUAAUAAAAUAAUAAUUAAAUGAGCGAACCAAAUUGAACUAAAAUUUGAUAACUUAAAAAAAAAAUCAUAUGAACCCAACUCAAUCCACCGAUGAACACUGCUUAACAUGUCCAUGUAUUAAACUUAAAUUUUGAUAUUUAACCAUAAUUUUAAGGAUUAAAACCAUAUUUUCAAUAAAAUAAUUGUAAAUCAAACAUUAAAAUAUUAUAUUUUUAAAACUUUAAUCCAAAACUUUUUCAUUUAUACCAAUGGCGAUGAUAUUAAAACACCAAACACCACCUUAAGGAGCUGCCCAACCGUCCAGCCGAAGAGGCAGAGUUUUGUUAUCGAUUACACAUGGUCCUCGUACAUUUAAAUCUCAACUCCCACCAACAACCAGUUAGGUUAACUGCUCACAACCCCCACACCGUCCACGACAUAACGGUAUAUAUAACAAAACUCUGCUCAAACCCUUCGAAGGGAGACACCCGUGUUGUCACUAGUCCGCAUACUUUAACUAGAUCAGUAACUGGUGAUAUAGUCACACGAAUGAAUAAACCUCUCUCUUUUUUACCACCUUCAAAAGAAAGCAUUUGAAUUCAUUUCACUGGCUAAAUAUUCUCUUCAAUAUAAUUAGGGAGAAAGAGGGAGCAGUAAUUAAGAAGAUGAGGGCAAUAAAUGAACAACAUAGUGCCCCACAUUAGCAUAUAACUAUGGAAAAAGAACAAAAGGUUGUUUAUAGCCAUAUACAUCCAUGAGUAAUUUGUCAAGAACUAUUUUAACUGAAAGCAAACUCAGCAUAACCCAUAGGUUAAUCGGCUUUGCCUGCACAUUGCAACCAAGGCCAAUCCAACGCACACAGGUCAACUGGAGAGUUGCCAUCAUCGUCCUCCAUAUCUUUGUCUGCAUUUUGUUUCACAAGAAAUUCAGCAAUGUCUUCCCUCUCACACACAACAGCGUAAUGCAAGGGGGUUUGGCCUUCAUUGUCCUUCCAAUAGAAAAAUAAAGAUUUUAACAACACUGAUGACAACACCAGAAACAGAGAGAAUAAUAUAUGAAAAAUAUUGUGCACCGUUGAAUAGGUCCAAGCUGACGCAUGAACCACCCAAAACUCUUAUUUCUCAUUUACUUCAGUACUCUAUUGAAACAUAAAACAUUGCAAAGACAAUAUUUCAUAAUUUUUGUCAUGCAUUACAGACCCAUCAAGAAAACUAUGAGUAGUUUCAGCAAGCAGAAAAAUAUCAGGGAGUAAAAACCAAUUAAUUGUGACACCAACAACAAUAACUACCUUAGCAUUCACAUCAGCAUUCCUGCUAACAAGUGCUUCCGUAAUUUUAAAAUGGCCACGGUCUACAGCCCAAUGCAAUGGGGUCCUGCCUUCACUAUCUGCAUGCAUCAUAAGCAGAGAGCUUAGAAGGUUAUGCAAGUCUUUCAAAUCCCUGGUAUGCAAGUCUAGUUCUUUCUUUAAAGGAAAAAAAACAGCUUCAUAGAAACAAACCUCGCAAAUUCACAGAAACAUCACUUUCAAUGCAUUUAAGCAAAUUAUCCAGUUCUCCUUCUCUAGCAAAAGCAUGAAUAGCAUCCAUUUUCCUGAAAAAGAAUAAUCCUUUAGCAUUCCCAUCAAAAUUCUUAGUUACUAAAGAACUAUACCCUCUGAUCUGAAGGAAGUGUUAAAGAAUUUUUGGAGAAGGAAAGUUUAAUUCAUUAAUGAAUCACUUACAAAAAUGCACCCCUUUGUCUAACAGGAACCAUUUCAUAGUCCAAAAAAGCACAACCAUAUUAACAACCAGCACAUAGCGACUUACACUAUACCUAAGGCAUCAUAAAUGAACAAGUAACAUCAAUGCUUGUGAAAGAGAUUCAGAAUUCCCUACAAACAGCAAAAGAUGAACCCAUAAUGCACAGAACAAACAGUAAAAUAUAACUAUCUGACUUAUGUCCAAAAUCAGACUUGAAAACAUAAAUCCUGGAAGGGGCACAUUCCUUUUUCAUAGUCCAUAGUUAAAUGACCUUUGACUGUGGAAGGUUCCAUAAAUAUAUUGUAUUGGAUAGGAAGAUGAUAAGUAGAACCACAACAUAGUAUAACAAGAAGAGAAUUUUACUAUCAUGAGUAAAAAAGUAAACAUGCUUAAUUAUACCUCAAGAAAGGAAGAAUUUUUUCUAUUCAAAUUUCCAUAUGACUCUUGCAUGUUUAAAACCGAUUACUCCAUCACAAACAACAGUAACUUCAAAGACCUACAUAAGUUUGCUCAAGCAAAUAUCAGAUAUCUAUAAGAUAAAUCAUCAACCGCACAAAUAAAUUCAAGCCUGAUCACAUAUAUACAACUAAAGGUCGAGUUUACAUCAAAAUGUACCCAAAAAACAAUUCAAUUGGUAUUCUCCUAACUUGUUAACCUCAGUGAGACAUAAAUAGACCUAAUAAAUAGCAUUUAAAAACACCCGAUGGAAGUUCCAAGAACCUUACAACUCAUUUCCAGAUUCCUCUUCAUACACAAAAGAGCUGAAAACUGGUCCCAUUGGUCCUCUGGCAUCUCUACUUGCAGCAUUUUCAGCCCCACCUUUGCUCUUCUAGGAACAAAAGUUGAUAAAUCAGUAAAUCAGCAACACAAAAGAAAAAAAAAAGUAGAUAAUAAAACAGUAUCAAAGAAACGGCAAGAUAGCAACAGAAAAGAUUAAAAUUGCACCAUAGCUGAACCAGCAGCCCAAGUUGGAUAUAGCUCUGUAACGAUGUCAAUGUAUUUCUGCAUUGCUUCUUCUGGAGGCAUAGCACCCAAUUUGUGCCAUGCUUGCCUAACAAAAAUAUGAUAUCCAUAUUCAAAUAUUAGGAAUGUAAAUUCUCAAGCAAUUUGCAAUCAUUUAAAUGUUGAAUUAUGUAGUAGAAACAAUUCUCAAGCUAAAUGGCAGUGCCUCACAAUGUGGGAGUAAUAAAAGAAGAAAAAAAAAGGACAAGCAAACUUUGCCGAUUGAAUGAGAAAACAUGUCAAUUAUCAUUCAUCACCAACUUUACCCAAAUGUCUACUCAUAAUAAGUGCUUCAAGAAAACAAGCUGAACUUUGAAUCGUAAAAAGAUCAAAGAAUACACUUCUCAGAGCCAAGUGAAAACUUUUAUCAAAGAAUCUGUUGUUGCCAGCGAAGCAAAUUAAAUUAUACUCAGCAAGCUCAGUUGUAGAAUUCACAUUUCCCAAAAUAAGAAACAGCCCACCAACAAACCAACAAAAAAUAGACGAAGAAAUUAGAAAAGAAAAAAAAACAGAAAACGCCAAUAAGCACCGUCUUACCACUUAGCACGAGCCGUCAUUUUCAAAGCAGAAGGCUGAGGAGCAGUGCAAGGACCUUCAGUGGCAAUUUUGUACAAACCGUAAAGCUGCAACUGCACCUCACUCGACACCUUCUGCGACAACCGAUCCGCCGCUGCCGCCGCCACGAACGCCGUCGCUGCACUAAACGCCUCAUCCAGCUCCGUACACUCCACCCCUUCCCAAUCGUCAUCGUCGUCAUCAUCAUCACCAUCGUCAUCACCACCAUCACUCUCGUUCCUAACACUUCCCACUUCGGCGAUCACCGAAUCCGCGUCGUGCGGUCCCCCGAAAUCAGUGCGGACAUGCGGGUCGGAUUCGGAACCCGAGUCGAGUUUGUUGUGGGCUUGGACAUGGGCUGUUCGGGCUCGGGCAAUUGAAAGGUUAUCUUCUUUGAAAGAAACGACUAAGGAGAUUAACUUAGCGAGGAGAUAAGAGAAGAGAAGACCUAUGAGUAUUGAUUGCAAAAGCUGUUGCCAGUCAGCCAUGGAAUCCACCAAGAUAUUCUCAAGUAAAAAUUAAAAACCCUAACCCUAAAAUUUGAGAGUGAUUGUACGGACAAAAGCGUAGGGAAAUGAAAGCCUAGAAAUGGAUCAUCUUGUCAUCGGAGUUAAACUAAAACCCUAUAAACCUUUUGAAGAUUGAAGAAAAUAAUUUUCUUUUUCUUUUUUUAGCUUUCUUUAUAUUUUUUACUUAUGUUCCUUUUGGGCUGGGGGACCUCUUUUUAGUAGUUUUAACAGGACGAAACUUUGGCGCCGGAGGAACAGUGUGCAUCCUAUUAAUAGCGAGAAGAGAACCAUUACGUGGGUGUAGUGCGCACCCUUGAAUUGGAUCAGGUGUUUCGCGGACUAUGGUUAUUUCUUUUUUGUUAGACAGGUGGCUUGUUUUUAGUCGUUGAAUUUGGUGGUACUGGUAAAAAAAAUAUCGAUCUCUCUUUGUCUUUAUCUCCGGAGAGAUGGUAUAUCACGUGUUUCACACGUGAUGUAUCAGAACUUUUAGUUCACUGUUGUUGGCCUUUAUUAUAUUUCUUUAUGUGGUUGGUUAAUUCUUACAGCCUUUGAAUAAUCUUUUAUUAGAAGCCAUGUGUUACAACUUACUAAUAUUAAUGCAUUAAUGAGUUUUGAUAUCACCCACUAAGUUACGUAAAUAUUAUCACGAAAUUUUGACAUAAUUUAAUCAUAAACAAUAAAAUCUUCAAUCACAAUAAAUAAAUAUAAAAAAUUGUUUUAAAUAUCUAUACUGCAUUUAAAAUUCAUAGCUGAAUUGAUUUUUAUGUUUGGAAUAAUUGGUUGAAUUGUAAAAUAAUUUAUUGAUUGAUUUAUUUAGUUAAUCUUUGAUUUAUAUUAAACUUCACACAAUAGUAACAACAUAUAGGUUGGUAAUUGUUUAAUUAUUAUUAGUAUAAUUUAUUCUUUUACAUGUUACUUAAUAAUCAACCUAAUAAUUAUAAACAGUUGGAAUAAACGACCUUUAGGAUUUGAAUUUAAGUUUUUACAUAAUAAUAAAAUGGAUCGUUUUUGAAUUGGUGUCCCCAUGUAACUAGUUCAAUCAGAUCGGUAGCAAAAAUGAAAAGACUUACCACUACGGGAAUCUAUCUCAAAAUCUUAAAGCAAAACCAUCUUAUGUUGUCUAUGAACAUAGUUAUGCUAUGCGUGAGUGUGGGUAUGCAGUUUGCUACGUUCAUAGCCCAAUUUAAGGAGGGUUGAGGCGUGGAACCGAAUCCAGCCACACUUUCUAUUUCGGUUGCGGCCCACAGUCAACUCUUUCUAUUCGUGAAGAAACCGCAAGCAAUUGACUGGAGGGGUCUGUUUCAAAAAUGUUUUGUGAGAAGCCAACAGUUUCGCUGAUGCUCUAGCAAGAUCGGGGGUGGAGAGAGGGGACAUGUUCUCGGCUGUAUGGUAGGGGAGGAAGUUGCAGUCUGGAACUUAUAUGAAAAGAUAAUAUCAGCUGAUGUGUUCUGGUUUUGUAAACAACUGGCAGUUGGAAGAGGCAAAGGUGAGAAGUCCAAGUAAGGAAUCCCUCUUGCUGUCUCUGUCUUGUAUUUUUGUUGGUUUUGUUAUGUGUAUGGAGAUCGGGGUAAAAGGGGAGCAGAGCAGGCCUGCUGUAAUUCGUAUGCUUCUGCUUUAUGUUGUGUAGCUCUCAAUUAAGGGAGUCUGCGGUUGAUUUUGGACAUUGUGAUAUGGGGGAAGUUUCUGUUGCUGUUGUUCGUUUUGUACCAUUCCAGAGAUUUGGAAUGCGUGAGCUGUUUUAAUCUCUUUAUUUAAUGAAAGCAUAUAUUGUUUGAAAAUAAUAAUAAUAAUAGACAAGUAUUCAUCAAAGCGCACGGAAUUAUACUACAACAUAAUGUCGAUUCAAGCAUUACAUCUUUGAGCUAGUAAAAAAUUUGUGUAUAUAUCUGGAAUGUAAUUCGCUGCGAAUACCAUCACCAUAUGGCCAUGCGUCUAUGUCUAGGCAUGUUACAUCCCUCCUCCCUGUUCCUGUUUUCUUGUCUGUAAAGGAACUAUAAUAACAAAAGCGAAAACAAAAUUGAAACUGAUCAAUCAUUCCUAGUUCUAUGCCCCCUGGUUGUCUGAUUGCAACAAGCUGUCCUCUCCAUCAGCAUCAGUAUUGACACUUUCCAUAGCCUGCAACAUGAAAAGAACAAAAAAGGGUUCAGAGAAAGUUUGUCAAAGAUGAGCUCUAGCAAUCAAAAAUAUGCUACUAGCUACUAAUUAAGAACAUGGAUGCAUCAGAAAGACAAGGGUGGAUAACAGGGCAGUAAGAAGAGGUAUUCGUGAUCUUAAUUACUUGGAUCAACGUCUGUGAUGGCUCCAGUUUGCUCAAAAGCACAAUCAUACUCUUUCCUAUCGGUGGAUUGAUAGUAAGCAUUCAUGGCAAAAGCUGCAUGGGCUCGAACAGUGUUAGGAAGGAAGCAAGCUCCAUCUUCUUGAAUCGGUCCACAGUCCAAACCCAAACCGCACACAUAAUCAAUAUUUCUUUGUAAAGCAUUUUCAUCCGCGCCCGUUUUGGGAAGACACCAUUGUUUUCCCUCAGACCUUGGCGUAGGAUUCACCGGCGCCGCCGUUGGCACUGGGGUUGGGUUGUUAGGAAUGGAUGAUCUAGCCUGCCAAAGACAAACCACAAGAAUAGAUAAAAUUCAUUAAUCAUUAUCGGUAAAUCAAUUUUAUCUAAUUAAUUCAUGAAAUAUAUUUUUCACCAUGAUUAUUAAUUAUUAGAAGGCUGGCUGUAAUGACUAACAAACAUGUAACAUGGUGAAUAUUGGGGCCGGCAGCUACCGUGGGCCUUAGGAUCCCGACAUCAUAAACGGGUGCCAUAUCUGGUUGGAAGAGCCCGAAAUUCCUCUCACAUGUAGGCCCUGGCUUAAGAUUUUCAUUGAAAAGCGCAAAGAUGUAGGUCUCGAAAGUCCGGUUUGGCAUUAGGGGUGUGCCAGCACCAGAUGCUACGUGCCGCAUGAGAUUGCCAUUGUAUUCAGCUGCACUCUCUGCAUCAACACCAACUUGGGUCGAAUCCCCCAUGGAUGGCCAACCAGUUUCGGCUAUGACAAUCUCAAGAUCAUCAAAUCCUACGAAUUUCAUGGCUGAAAAGACCGCAUCUAAUUGAGCAUCUAACAUGUUUGUGUAAUGCAGCUCUGUGUUUUCAUCGAACACUCCUGCAUUAGGCCGAAACAGGGCAUAAUCAAGGGUAUCAGGUGAGCAGCCAAAAAAUGGAUAAGGGUUCACCAUGAAGGGUGAAUUGGUAGCUCUAAGGAAGCUAAGCAAUGGUUUGAGAACAUGAGUGUCAUAGCCUUGUCGAAACUUUCCAGUGGAUGGUGGGCUUGAAUUUGAGAGAAUGCCUAGAGAGUGAGGUGUGGAGACUUGGAUUCUACGGUCUAGUGAAGCUUCAACAAGGGCGGUGUGGAGGGUUUGCACAGCUGGAACAAGACUUCCUAUUAACAGUUUGUUUGCUGUUGAUAUUACUUCAUUGCCUACUAAAAUACGGACUAUAUUCGUGGCUGGUGUGUAAGGUUGGAUAUUGUCUUCCACCCAUUGUUGAGCCAAGUUUAGCUUGGUAAGGCGAGGGAUUUGAUCAUUUGGAACAGUUACUGUGAUAGCAAUGCCAGUGUGGGCAAAGGCUUUUAGAAUGUCAGGGUUGGCGUCGAAGAGCCUAACGCGGUUGAUGACCGUGGACUCUAGAAGGAAAUGCGCCACUUGAGCUGGUGGGGGAAGAUUGUUCGCAACGGUGCCAUAGUUUAUCCCAAUUGUCCCUUCGACUCCUAGAAAAAAAAAGAUAACCACACCAAUUAAUCAGUUAUACAUCUAUGUUGGUACAAAAUUUUUGCAAGUGGAAUAUCACAGUUUUCAUACCUCGGACGAGCGUUGAUGCCAGAAAAAAUAAGAUGGAUGCGACCAAUACAGAAGAAAAGACAGAGAUGAAUUCUUUCGCCAUGGCUUUGGUGGGUAUGGGAAGAUGCUGAAUGAUGCAUUGGGGGCAAACCAUGGCUCAAGAAGUGGAGUGUGAGAUACUUUUCUUUGUGAAUGGGGGAAGGUCUGGAUGCCGUGGCAUGAACCAUGUUUGCAAGAACUUUAUCGUUUGCGCCUGCUUUAGAUGUAACUUUGGAUUAUACCUUUUCCUUUGAUUCUGUUACAUCAUUCUCCCUUUCUUUGCAACGGAAUUUUUUUUCUUGCAACCAAGUAUGGGCCAAUCUUGACAAUGCGAACCGGGCUUUGUGUAGUCAAUCAGCUUGGUAUAUUGAAGUGAAAGUGUCAUCGAGACAACUAAUGAAACUUGUCAGAUCUUACUUUAGUCCACGGCAGGGGAAUAAUCUUUUCUUCCAUGCUGGAGAAGGUAUCAGCUGUCGUGAGUUCCUUAUUAGCUUAAACAAUACGAUAUUCUUCAGCUCCUAAUAUAACCAGUGAGAAUCCUAUCAACUCUCACAACGCAGUAUAAGAGAGCCUAAUAUUCAUUUUUAUUACUUUUUUAUUUGAAAGUUCAAUAUAUUGAGGAAAGGAGAGAACGAAAUUCGCCCCUAGAGAAAGCAGAAGAUUUUAAACUGUUGUCCCCAAGUCAAGAAUAACACUCCCGAAUCCCGGUACACAAACAAAAAGAUCUGUCAGUAAAAGUUCAGCUUACAAAACCUUGCUGAACUCAAGUCCCCCAUCACACCUAUACAAUCAUAACCCACCUUAAAACCAGAAACAGACACUUUCUCAGCCAAACCCAAAAAUACAGUUCAACCAAGAGGCUCAAACAAAAAACAACCCCUCCAAAGAAGAAAUGCCAACUCAUUUUUAUUACUUAUUUGACCUUUUUUCACUGAAUUAAGCUCUUGCUUGUGGCCUGUGUUUGCGAAUCAAAACUAUACUAGCAGAGCUUUAGGUGUCUAUAGAUUUGAUUGUACCAAAUAAAAUUUUGAAUAAAAUACAGUCGGAGAAGUCGCAUAUAUCAGCAAUGAAAAUGAAAAAAAUGUAACUAAAAAAUUUAAAUAUUUCCAUCGAAGCAGAAUGGAAAAUGCUGUUGAGAAAAAACAAUGAAAUCCAGCUCUAGAUUCAUCGUACACUAAAUUAUUACUGAACGUUUUCCCCGACAAGUACCUUUUCAGCAUUUCACAGCUCAGCCAGUUUCUCAGCCUGUCACUUUUUUAUUGGUUGGGCAAGCCUUGUUCUUAUCCUUUUCCUUCCCAUUAAUUUCUUGGCAUUUGUCUACAUCAAAAUGUCCAAAUGCAUUUGAAACCACUCAUGUUACCACUUAUCCAGAGCUACUCGAUGAAAGGCAUUUUGAUUAUUAGUUGCAAUAGUAAAAGCCAAUUCAACCCUACCAACAAGUUUGAUUACUGUUAUUUGAUAAAUGAUAAUCGGUAUUACAUGAUAUUUGAUUCAAUGAUGAUUUAUGUAUUUUUUUUAUAUUUAAAAAACGGGUUUGAAUCCUUUUUCUUUAAAAUGAAAACAAAUGAUAAUGAUUAAAUAAACAAUGAUAUAAUGAUUUUAUGCAGGGGAAAAAUCCUCUAGAGAAACAAGGUGAGAUUUGUCCACAAAAAAGGGGAAAAAGGACGAAAGAAAUUAACAAACAACAUUGUUAGCAUCAAGCAUGUAAGUGUUACUCACUUCAGUUUUUUGUCCCUUCCUUGGUGAGAUGCUAAUAAGCAUUAAGUCUAACUCCGACCAAGAUAUAUGAAGCCUAACUAGCCAGGCUAACAGAGAGCAAGCUCCUAAAACUCACCAUAUAGUAAUGAUGUUAUCAGUUCUGAGGCAAAAAGUUUGUAGUAAGACUCGAUCAAAUACUAAUAAAGUUUUGUGUGUGUGUACGCAAUGUGCUUUAUUUGUUUAUCUGCAUUUUGAUGGCAAGAACCAAAUACUAAAGAUCAGUUGCAUCUAAAAUUUGGCGACACUGGAAAGUGGGAGAGUUUACCUUACAUAGGUACUUACCUACGCUUUUAAUAUGAGGUGCAAAGGAGAGCAAGAACAGCCUGGUAGAGGAACUUCCACUUUUAACAUUGCUUGUUCAAAUGAGCAUCUCAGAAACAGAAGCAUUAUCAGCCAAACUUACAGUAAACAGAGACUAUAUAUAUAGACUAUACUCUAUAUUUUGGACUGAUAUACAUGCAAAUGCAACUGUGAUUGGAAUACUCAUUUGAGCAAGAAACAUUACAAAGAGGAAUUAAGUUACUUUCUCUUCUCUCUCUCUCUCUCUCUCAACCUUUCUCUGAUCUGAAUCAUCCAACACUGAUGACCCCUAGAAUCUAAGGUCCAUUGCUAUAAAUAGAAGGUCCAAGUAUGAGGAGAAAAAAAACCAGUACAGAUUGCUGAAUUACCAAAAUGCCUCUGCCGCAAUGAGGCAUGGUAAACAGAGAAGAAAAGAACUGCUUGUUAGUUGUUUGUAAUUUAAGCCUGUUUAAUUUUCGAAGGACAGUUUGGGAAACUGACUGAUUAGGUGCCAUACUAAUGAAGGGGCUGGUAUAUAUCGGACGGUGCAGAAAAUAGUUGGAGAUUGGACAGUCAGUUUAAAGAGUCUAAAUGAAAAGGAAUUGUAGUUGCUGAAAGAAUGGCAGCUCAAGAUUAUCAAUCCUAACAACCUAACCACCAUCAGUCAAUUAGGAGGGAAAAUAAAACAACCACCUAUGGUGACAAAUCUUUUAUCAUUUCAGAAUCAUUACCUGCAUGCCAUCUUUAACAAAUGGUAAAUUCUUUCUCAUCAAAGCUACUAUUCCCACCAAUAUUUCCUUUUGUAAUUUUGUCUGGUCCAUUGUUUGCUCUAUUACAAGUAUUGUUUCAUGUGAGGUCAGCAUCCACUGGAGAAAGAUAUCAAGUCUGCUGCUGCAUUCUCAGCAGUUUUAAUCUAGGGAAGUUGUGAUUCAAUACGCUAGUAUGUGUCUCCUUUUUCUUCCCACUUUCCAAGCAAAAAAAGAUGGUACGGUAUAUACAGAAUUGCUAUUGGCUUUUGUGCCACUUUGACCUGGGCUUGACUCAAAGUGAUUGAAGUGAGAAUGGAGGUUGAAAACCUGUCUGUUGUAAGGAAAUGUAAAAUGCAUUAUCGGAUUUGAUUUUAACAAGUAUUUGUAGACACUUGUCAACUACAGACUGUACUGCAUUACCAGAUGAAUGAGCCCCCCCCGCCCCCCCCCCCCACGUCAUAUCAGAAAAACUAAAGGGAGGUGACCAUUCAGCUUCUAGUGUACAAUUUCAAUAUGGGGUUGGUAAAUCUAAUAAAGGAGUACACUAGGCAUAUGAAAGGAUGUGGGCGCGUUUGCACCGACCUUUUUUAAGAAGUUGCCCCAUCCUCAUUAACUCUGUCUUUAACAUUUUGGUACUCCUGCAAAAUGGGAAUCACCUAAAGAAGCCAUACCUUAGUUCCCAAAUCUGCCUUUUGGGGUAGGUAAUGCAAUAUAUAGCAAAGUAUAAUUUCUAUUUGAGCUGCUGUCACAUCAAUUACAACUCAAGUGAAUCACUUGAAGUGAUGCCCCGACGUUAUUGAGUUCAAACAUAAUGGAGAACAUGCAAUUUUAAUUAUUAUCUCUGAUUAAAUCUUAUAGAUACAAAAAUGAAUCAACAUUUUGAUGGAAAAAUGACGGCAGUAGUUAUAAAUAAAAACAUGGCCUACCUCUUUAAAACAUUACAGCAACAUCCUUUCUAACAGUAAAGCAAUAACCAUUAAAUUUCCAAAAUGUAGGCCACUGGUAUUUAAUGCAAUGUGCAAUUAUUCAUCCUGUCUUGCUCGUUUGAUUAUGAGGAUGCAAUUUGACAAGAAGCGACGAAUUCAAGAUUUUGAAUAAGAGUUGAUCAGAAGAUAAUUAUAAAAAUAAUAAAAUUAUAUAUAUAUAUAUAUAUAUAUAUUAAUUUAAUUAUAAUAAUAAAANUAUAUAUAUAUAUAUAUAUAUAAUUUUAAACUUAUAAUAAUAAAAAAAUUAAAAAUUGAAAAGUGACAACGGUCGGUCACCAACGUGACCUUCUUGACUUUUACCUUGCUGACAAAGGUUUCGAAGAAGGUACAAACCCAGGAAAGAACAAGUCACGGUACCCACUUCUUUAAUUUCGCGAAAAGAAAUUCUAGAAUAAUCAAAAGGAUGGUAACAUUUCUAACAAACAGACACUGAUGUUAAUAAAUUUUUGUAUAUUGUACACGUAACUAAAUAUUAUAAAAGGGAUAGAGAUAGAGAAGCCAUUUUCAUUUCAAAUAAAAGCAAGAUGUCUUCCUUUUUAAAAUAUACAGCAAGAUCCUUUCUAAAAAGCACGUCUCUCCGUUUACUUUUUUCCUUAGUUAAUAGCACGUAAUAAUCAUUAAAUUUCCUAAAUGAAGGCCACCGGUGUUUGAUGGGCUAUGGAAAAUGAAAUGUACAAUUAUCCACGAACACAUGUGCGGGUCAGCCGAACUAUGGUUACUUCACGGCCACACCAAACAUGUGCGGGUCAGCCGAACUAUGGUUACUCUUUACCCACCAUUACUGUCCUCGUCAGUUACCCCGGUCUUGUAAAACACCAUAUUGCUUGGACUGUUGUAAAAUGGGAAAUGCGCAUCCGGGGAAUCGAACCCCGGUCAGUACCGUGGGAGGGUACUAUGAUACCACUACACUAGAUGCGCUUGUGCACGACUCGUUGUUGGAAAAAAUGCUUGUCAAAAGAAGAGUACGUUGAUAUGCUGGUUGUCUCCAAAUCUUCCUCUGGCAAACUCUUCCUUCUUCAUAAAGUAACUUUGUCAAGCAAUAGCUUACAGAUACUAACUCUUAUGUUUCGAAUCAAAAGGUGGACAAUCCUUUCCAAGGAUUACUAAUUAUUUUUGUACAAAUUGCGGUUCAUGAUUAAUAAAAGAAGCAAAUACAUAUAAAAUUGUGAAAAUUUAUUAUUUAACUGGCUCUUUUACGCAUGAUUCAUUUUAUUAUCAACUUUUUAACAAAAUCAUUAAUGUAAAACUAUUCACUAUUGGAUUGACCUUUAGUUAGAUGACCAAUCUCUUUCGUACGGUUUUCAAGAAUUUUUGCUCUUGCUACUAAUAAACAGGAGUAGUCGCUAACUUCGGUUCAUACGAAAAGAAUUGUCGGAGGUGGAACAUUCCGCUAAGGCAUAACCCAUUUAAUUGGAAACUUGGUCAGUGGAGCAUUUUCUUGGAUGUAGUCAAAUCAAUCCAACCUCACCAUUAUUCUGCCCCAGACAAAACCACUUGGAAGAAAUCAACUAGUGGUACAUACAUGUCUUCAUCUUUUUUCAACCAUUGCCAGUCGAACAUUUGGGCUUCCCAACCACAUUGGAGGCAAUUUUGGAAGGGAUUUGCCCCCCCUCCCCCAAAAACUUGAAGUCUUCAAAUGACAAGUCUUUCUUGGAAAAGUCGCUGUCAAGCACGAACUCUUCAAAAGAGGUUUGCUUGAUAUUAAUGCUUCCCUUUGCACUCUGUGUAAUGUUGAACCUGAGACCUCUUCUCACCUUUUCUUCACUUGCUCAGUUGCUUGGAUCAUUUGGAUGCACAAUUGUAGCCUUUGGGGACUUAGUUGGAUUCACCCGGGUGAUGCCACUAGCUUCUUUGUUUCUUGGCAAAACAAUAAACCACCUUAUGGUUCUCUUGAAAUAUGACACAUGCUCUUCUUCUCUACCUUAUGGUCAAUAUGGCUUUGUAGAAACAAAACCCUUUUCCAAAGUAAACAACUUGAUGUGAAUCAGAUGCAAGACAUUAUCCUUGUUAGAUUAGCCCAUUGGUGCAAGGGCAAGUGGCCACUCAACCACAUUCUAGCAUCUCACUUCCUUUUCGAACCUAGUCGAAUCAGUAUCAAUAUUAGGAAAUGCAAAAGAGUCAUCUUUGAAUGGAUGAGACCAUAACCAGGUUCCUUCAAACUGAAUAUUGAUGGCUCUACCUUUGGGAAACCAGGGCCUGCAGGUAUAGGUUUUGGGGUGCCAUUAAAGACUACAAUGGUUUCAUUAAAGGGGUUUUGUCUUCUCCAUUGGCAUCAAAGACUCCAACUACGCUAAGUUUCUUGCUACAAAAGAGGACCUUUCUUUCUUCUUUUCUUCACCUUGGGCCUCUAGCACUGUCCAUAUUGAAGGUGAUUCCAAAAAUACCAUCACUCGGGCAUUUGAUCACAACUCUGUUCCGUGAAGUUUUUAUUCAACUGUAUUGAAGCGUUCAAAACAAGCUCCAAAGAUCUUACUUUCACUCACAUUAACAAAGAGGCAAACACUUUGGCUGACGGGCUUGCAAAAGCUGGGACUAUCAGGUUCAAUCGUUUUUCGACUUUGUUAUAAUCCUUUGAGCUGUUUUGGAUAACGAGGGUGCUCAAUCUACCAUGUUUGCUCACCUAGUUUGUUCACUCAGUUGAGUUUGUGAAUUUCUAGGUAUUGUCUUGUUGAAAUUUUUUUCCUUUCUAUUGUUGUGGCUUUCCUUUAAGUCUAUCUGUUUAGAACUGUCUCUGGCAGUUUAUCUUUGUAUUGCCUGAUCUGGCUUUGCUUAUUAAUGAUCACUUGCCAUUCAAAAAAAAAUAAAAAAUUGCAGCCUGCAGUAGCUAAACAAGACAGAAGGAAACGUGAGAAAAGAGAAUAAGCUGCAGUCAUCGACAACCCAACUCAGCUCUUCCAUCAGCACUGACGCUUGUAUUUGUACAUAGCUUCUGAAGAUCAAUGUAACCUAUGAUGGUAUCUUCAAAAACUGCAUCUUCAAGCUGAGCAUUAUUAAAAGUAGAACCAGAUAACACAGUGUUCUUAAAAACAGCUCCUCGGAGAUCAGCUUUGUCAAAAUUAACUCGAUCCAAAACAGCAUUCGAGAAGUUUGCACCUGCAAAUAAUUUGGUUAUUGUUCUUCUAUAUAAACCCAUGCCAUGAUCUUCAACAUUUAUGCUGUCUACGACUGCAAAUGAAAAUUUUUUCACAUAUUGCAAAGUCCUCAUCUUUUAUCAAUGAGUCUUAUGUAGAAAAGCACUAUUUAGUUCUUUAAAAAAAGUGCAGUUGUUUUGAUAGAUUUCUCAUUUACAAGUAAUUUUGAAGAACUCAAGGAAGCUAUUGAGGCAAGGAUUUUGAGACAUGCAUAUGUAUGAGUGAAAAGCAACAAAAUGAGUUUAAAAACUUCACUCUUCAUUGUUCUCGUUCUUCCAGUAGUCCAGUAUAUACAGAAUUAUGGACGGUGGCAUUCUAAUUUCAAAAUAACUAUACAUAAUUCAGAUGUUUUCUCACAUUUAAAUGUUAUUUAAUCAAUGUCUUCUUCCUUAUCAUGACCACAUCUUGGAGAUAUGUUGUAGUCAUAGCAAUCAAAAUAGAUGCAUUUUAUUUUUGCAUUUUUCUUGUCAAAUAGUGGCUCUCAACACAUAGUAGUUUUCUCAAGGACUUCAAUUCUUUUGUGGUGCAAUCGCAGGAUGUGCUCAAAAUGAUGAUAGAAAGCAUUAAACAAUCAUUCAUUACUUAAGGACUACAAUCAAAUGCAGUUAACCAAAUAAUUGUGCCAAAGUUGGUCAAACGGAUAAUUUGCACGAGUAGUCUUCUAAGAAAGAAUUAGCAUUGGUCGAACAUUUUGAACUUUAGUGAGGUGGGUGGUUUCAGAGAAGGCAACAGAAAGAAAAUACAGAAGAUUACCCUUGAAGCUAGCUCCAACAGCAUAAGCCUUUGACAUCACAGCUUCUGACAUGUCUGCACCAUCGAACUUAGCAUCUGACAUGAGUGCUGCUGCAAGAGACUUUCCCUUCAGGUUGGAUUUUUCAUUAGUGUAAUCACAGAAGCGCAGAUCAAGGGGCUUAUCAUAUACACCAUUUGCCUGACCUAUCGUAUUACCAACAAAUGCACGCUCACAUCGGUUGGGCUCUGUUGACAGUGGAGGCAACCUCUGCAUAGCAAACAUAUUACAGUUUUGUAGCCUAUAGUUAUCUUGAAAUUAGUAAUUAUUAUGAUCAACGACAUUGUUGUUUGGAAUCACCGGAGGAUAUGGGAACAGUUAUUCCCCACAGGCACUCUUACCAAGUAAAUCAGUUUGUUUAUACAGGAUAAAGGACUUCUGGCAACUUAGAUGACAGUUGAUAGUAAUAAUUAAUUAGGCAAGUUUUCCUAUAAAAUUCAUUUUUUCUUAGUUCUGGCCAAGAUAGGAAAGUUAUGCAUGCAUCAAGUAGAUCAGCUGAUCAACAAACGGUUGACUAGAGUGAGAGCUUUGCUCUGGCAUGAAAACAUAAACACAAGAAAUAAACAGGCAAGGUAACUUGAAGUUUCAAAUAACAAUUAAUUGCAAGAAGGCUUAUUGCCAUGCAUUAAAAUUUAAAAAGCCUACUACAACCACUUAAAGUGAAACUAAUGGAAGCAAUCAAGAGUCCGUAAUUUAUGAUGAAUUGCUAAGGUUUAAAAGGAACUGUGUCCAACAAUUUAGUGUGUCCCAUGCAAUUCUUAAACUACGAGCUGUAAACCUAAGCCAAACAAGUCAUAGGCAAAUAUGCUUAAACAGACCCAGAAAAAUAGUGCAGGUAUUCAACCUGAUUUGCUGCAAUUACAGGUGAGGCAGUAGCAACAGCGCAUACGGCUAGAAGGCCACAAGCUACACUCCUCAGUUCUUUAAACGGUGAUGAGCUUUUCUCGGUCUUGAAAACACAUUUACUAGCUGCUUCCAUGAUAGAAAACGUUAAAAUAAAAAUCUUCAGGAACUGAAAAAAGUAUAUUAGCCAACAAGGCUGCCCAUUAAGUUUCAGACAAUAACUCAAAUCACAAACUUGACUGUCACCACAGACAUCACCAACAAUUGAGAUUAUCCCCACAACAGGAAUUCCCUUUUUAUUUUCUUUUUUUACGACCGUUACUUCCCUAGCUUGAUCCAUUAUUCCCACAGUGAAAAAGAGGAAAACAAUGAAGAAAAAAACUAGUACAGAAUUCGGAAGGUUUUAAGAAAAAACAAGGCAUACCAGAAGAACAGUUGAUUCUGAUAGGUAGAGGGAGUUGAUGAAGAGGACAAUGGAGGCGUUUCGUCGAUAAUUGUCGCAAGGAUAAAGCGUUCUGGGAGAGUGGAGUUGAAAGGGUCGCCAUUUCUGUGUUGUAUGCUUUCUCUUUCUCUCUGAUCUCCCUAUCACUUCAAGUCCAUUGCGAGUUUAUCCAUUGAUGAUGGUUGUAGCCGCAGCAGGCACAUACAUCUAUCUGACCUGGCAUGACACGUAAGAUUAUGUCCUUGGCAGAUAUUCAGUCAAAUUAACUGUUAGGCUACCUAUAAUCAAUGGACCAAGCAGGCCUGCCCAAGCCCACAAGCCUGACACAUAUUGGACAGAGCUUGGGUUAUUGUUUUCAAACCUAUAGAAGCCCGACCAAAAUUAGUUAGGGAUUAGGGCGUUGUUUACCCAAAAACAAAAGAGUCAGAAACCUUAAAUAAAAAGUAAGAGGCAAAAAUAUGAAAAGCAGAUAAAGCGUACGAGAUAAAUUCGUCUGGUUUAUCUUUGACCAUCCGCUUCCUCUUCAAGCUUAACUUAGGGCUUUUGAAUUUCAAGGCCAAGAAAGAUAAUAAUAAAGAAAAAGCAAACAUACACUCAACGCCGAAAUCAAUCGGAUAAUACUUCUGCAAGGAAACCAAAAAAAAAAAAAAGAAUGGAAAAUCAGGGCAGCUGUUUGUCUUACAUGGCGGCGUGGUUGGGAACGAGUGUGGCCCAAGCCUUCUUCGCGUCGCUGGAACGUUGUUCUUGCAUAAACCUCUCUACCUCCGAUGAUGCCGAUGAUUCCGAGGCCCACGAUCGCCCUCUCAUGUUCACCAAUUGCUCCUCCAUCUGCUCAUCUGUUACCUCUAGGACCGACAACCUUCCUCCCAACGACGUCGUUAAUCUCCCCGUCUAAAUCUUGCAAGCCCUUUCUAUUUGGGAAUUGUAUGUAGGAUUUCGUUUCGUUUCUCUUUUUCUGUGAAUCUUGAUAUGAGGGUCGGCUUUUUUUUUUUUAUUAUUAUUCUUUUGUGGUGUUUCUCUUUGUUCAAAUGUUUCCUUGUCUUUGGGUGUUUGUGAAAUUUCCAAAGCGAUCUCGUUUAUUGACUGAAGAUCUUCCUUUAAUUUCUUCGAAAUCAUUCGUCGGCGGAUGAAUUUGAAUCUCUGAAAUUUUAUGUUGUUCUCU